GUGUUAAAAUGUGAAGUAUUCUUUUUACUAAUGUUUAACAUACAUAAUAACUAUUAUUUAUAAUUACAGAUUGAAGCUGCAAUUGGUAAUAAUGAACCUAUAUCUGAAGCCCUUAAGUGGAUAGCUCAUGGUCCUAGCCAUUAUGUCUCUAAAUAUCAUGGAUAUGUCAUUAAUGGGUGUCGAUACCAUACCAAGGAAUGAGAUGACUUACGAGCUACCCAAAAUAGUGGAGUUAGUAUUGUAGCUUCAACAAUGCAAAUCGCAAGUGCAAAGGAUCAAAAUCCAGUGUUUGGUGAGCUUUGUUUCUAUGGCAUUAUUACCGAGAUCUGGGACCUUGAUUAUACCAUGUUUAGGAUACCGGUUUUCAAGUGUGAUUGGGUUGAUAAUAAAAAUGGCAUAAAAGUUGAUGAUCUUGGCUUUACAUUAGUUGACUUUAGCAAAAUUGCUCAUAAAUCAGAUCCUUUCAUUUUGGCAUCCCAAGCUAAGCAAGUAUUUUAUGUGCAAGACCAACUUGAUCCAAGAUGGUCGGUUGUUUUAUCAACCCCUCAAAAAGAUUUCUUGGAUAUGGAAGGAGGUGAAGACUUUGUUGACAAUUCGAUUGAACACCAUCCCUUUAUAGGGGCAUUGCCACAAAUUGAAGCGUUUGAUGUAAUGGAUGACUCAAAUGCAACAUGUAUGCGAGGCGAUUGUGAGGGGAUUUGGAUUGAGAACAAAUCCUCUAUGUAGCUGUAUUUUAAUGCUAAUGUAUGAAUAAAGGCCAUGGAAUGGGUUGCAACAACCACAAAAUAGGUAAUUUUUAUCCUUUCUUUAUUUUUUUGCACAAAAUAUUGACCAUUCUUUAACAUCUCCCAAUAACAUAUUUACUAAAACCUUUUCCCUAAAUUGUGCAUGGAAGAUACUAAAUUAGUUAUGUUUGUGAGUAAAAAAAUUAUGAAAUUUUUUAUUAUCAAUAUGCAUGUUGUGUUUUCCAAACUUAAUGUAACACAAAUCGAUAGUCCAAAAGCUUUCAUAAGUUCUUAUGGACUUGAUGAACUUGUUGAAACCACGUGCUCCUUCCAUGUUGAUUCUUAUAGGAAAUUCCUACUGCAAAUUUAGCUUUCUUAUACAAAGGCCCUUGGGUUGCUUAAAAUAAAUGAAAUGUUAAACAAAGCGGGACAAAAAAAAGUUUAAAUGAAGUGUUAUCCUUGUUAUAUGAUGAACAAUUCUAAAAACAUCUAUUGAAUUCAUGAUCUAUUGCAUUUCAUUGUGCAAUGAUUAUGGAUUUGUUUCUUUGAAAAGUUAUGUUUUACAAUUAUUCUUUGACUAGGUUAUAUGCAAUAUAAUUUUAACUAAUCUUUAUCAUUUUUUUUUUUUUUUACAAGAAUGGAGACAAAGGAAGGAGAAAAACCCAUAAAAAGGAAGUACAGAGGGAUGACACGGAAGCAUAUGAUUAUAAAAAACAGAAGCAAGGGGGUUAAGUUGCCGGUUAAGUACAAUCUUAAUGGCAUUUUCAUAGGAGAAUCAGGAGUUCAUCUAACAAGCUACUUAGGCGUGUUAGCACACACUAUGGUGCCAAUAAGAUAUAAAACUUGGCAUGUUGUACCUAAACAGUUGAAGGAUAAGUUAUGGGACAACAUUGAGGUAACCAUUUUUUAUUUAAAUCAUUUUGAUGCAAAAUGUCUAUCAUUCUUAACCUCUUGAAAUUACUAAAGUUUGGUAUUAAUGUGCAGACUGCUUUUCAUUAAAUCAUAAAAGCAGGAGGAAUUGUAUGUUAACAAUGGGAAAAUGCUUUCGGUCCUUUAAGAACUUGCUAACAGUGAAGUACAUUCUUCCUUUCGAAGACCAACCAGAGCUCCUCAAAAGACCACCAAUUCAAUAUACUUUUAUUGAGGAUGAAGAUUGGACAAUAUUUGUCAAAGAUAGAUUGUCUGACAACUUUAAGGUAUAAUUAAGACUCUUUACAUACCUCUUAUUCACAUUCAUUAAUUAUAAAAUUUUAAUUUAUAGGAAUAUCGAGAAAUUCAAAAAGAAAGAAGAAAGAGAAACAUUUAUAAUCACCAUCUAAGUAGGAAAGGAUAUGCCGGUCUUGAGGAAGAGAUGGUAAGUGUAAGCCUAUUAAUUGUUUUUUAUUUAUUUUAUGCAUAAUACAUAAUAGGGUUAUAUGAUAAUUAUAUUAUACAUUAACCUAUUUUGAAAUAUGGUUGCAAGUGGAUCAACUAAAACUAUUGAUCGAAGCAUAUUGUGGAAGAAAGCAAGGGAAAAAAAGGACGGCACCUUUGAUGAAGUGGCCAUACCAGUAAUUGAGAAAAUAGUAAGUGAAUAUUUUUCAAUUUUAAUUACAUAUAUUUAUAAUAAGUUAUUUACAAUAACAAAUUUGCAAUUUAACUUUAUAAUUAAUAUUUUUUAAGGACAAGCUAUUGAAAGAGUCUCAAGAGAAUGGUAGAAGUGUUAGUAGAAGUAAUGAUAUACUCGUGGAAGCAUUGGGUACUCCUGAGUAUAGUGGUCGAGUUAGGGCCAAAGGGAAGCACGACACACCUCGCCAAUAUUUCAAUAGUGUUGCAGAUUGUGCUGUCAGGGAUUUCAUAGCAGCAUCUAAAGAAGAACAAAGAAUAUUUCAGGUAGAAGUGCUAGCAAAACUAUCGCAAGUAGGAGUUGUUACUCCCCAAUCUGAUGUUAGCAGUUCAAACAUGAAGCAAAAACAACUUCUCCUACCAGAAGCAGUGGAUAAGCCAAUCCGUAAAGUUGAAGAUGUGACCCCACCAGAAGCAAUAGAACCACAGAAGAAGGUAUUUAUUCAGUUAAGCUAAUUUGAUGACAAAGUUUCCUCUAAUACGAGAAAUAAUUUAACUUAAUUUUUUUGUUUGAAUUUACUUCAAAUGUUGGUGGCAACAUAUAUGGUCUUCUUUGAUGUGGCAACAUAUAAUAGGAUAUGUCUAAAUUAUGGGUUGAGUUAUAUGCAAUGGACUGAAAUGUUAUCAUGCAAGUUUGUUGCAAUUGAAUGUAAAUGAAAUUGCAUUUAUCAUUGUAAUAGAAGCUAUAAGGUGAUUGAUGAUGAUAAUGCAUUUAUGUUAGUUUUGUAUAAACCCACUAAUAUUGAAGUGAUUAUUGUGAAUUGAGUUUUGUAGGUUAGAAAAUGUGAGCUGGCCAUAGGCACCAAGGAAAAUAUAGUGGCAAGUGGAACAAUUAUACUUGAAUGUGGUCCCAACUAUUUAGUAGUUGUUGAUGCUCCUUAUGAUUCAAGUGCACCCCUUCCCAUUCCUAUUCCUGGACAAACUACUACUGUUGGGGCUGCAAUUGGUUACCAAGUUUUGUGGCCAAAUGAUUUGGUCAUCAUCCGUACUCCCAUCUUAGUAAGUAAAUUUAAUUACCAAACUUUAUAAUGACUUUAUAUAUCUAUAUAUAUAUAUAUAUAUAUAUAUAUAUAUAUAUAUAUAUAUAUAUAAACUAGUUAAUUUGAUUUGUACCAUGGUUCUUUAUUGUACAGGCAUCUAAGAAAGCAAAGAAACAAAAAGUAAAUGAAGUUGAAGUCAAAUCCAAGGGUGAAAAACCACAAGAUAUGAAAAAUUUUGAGACAUUGGUUGGCCUCAUGCUGAGUACAUCAAGAACACACCCUAUAAACUUCCCAAGUGAUGUUUUUGGUGAGAGUUUCAAGACCUUCAUGAUGAAAGAAGAUAUGGAAAUGAUAAUAUCAUCAAAAGAAGUGUCAUCCAAUUGUAUUUUAUACUACAUAUGGUAAGGGAUUUUAUAAUUUUUGAAUGACUUUUCACAAGAUUAUGAGAUAGAAGGUUAUUUUCUAAUGACCUAUAAUGAUUGUUGAUAACUUGUCAUGUGGGUUAUAACCAGGCAUUUGCAUAGAAAGUUGAUUGAUGUAAAGCAGGCCGAACGAUAUGUUUUUGUCAAUCCAGCAUUGGUCUCAAAAGCUGGAAUGGGAGAGGGAAGCAAGGAAAACAGGUCAAGGGUUAUUGCAGAUCGACUAAAGAAUACAAAGCAUGCUGAAUUUAUGCUUAUUCCAUACAACCCAGAGUAACCUUUUAUCCUAAAUAUCAAUAUGGUGUUUGUAAGUUAGUUUGUGAUGUUUGAAUUUGUGGAUACUAUAUUACAAUUUUCAUUUCUUUUCUUUAGUUUCCAUUGGGUGUUAGUGGCAUUGGAGAUGAAGAAAAUGAUUGCAUAUUACCUUGAUCCAAUGGUCUGUCAACCAUGUGAUGAUCUUAAGGACAUAGUUAACAUGUAAGUAUAUAUUUUCUCCUAUUUUAAUACAAUUGAUAGUGUCUAAAUAACAUCUUUUUAAUUCGUUUUAUAGGGCAAUGAGAAUCAACCCACCGGAAAAACAGAAAACAUCAAAGAGGGAGCCAACUUGGGUGAAAGUGGUUGUAAGUACUUAUUUGUUUAGAUUAAAAUAUAUUGCUUCACCACUUAAUUUAUGACAAAAUUAGAAAAUGGAUGGUUAUUAAUAUGAUCAUCAAUAAGAUGCUAAAGAAGUAAGAACAUCAUUCUAGUGUUUAUUGCAAUUGUUGAUACUUUUCCCAUAGUGCCCAAGACAACUAGGUAGUGUGGAAUGUGGGUAUUACGUGAUGAGAUAUAUGAAGGAAAUCAUUGCUAAUCCAAACCAACUAACAUCAAAGGUUUGCACUCAAUUCAAUUCAUAUGGUUGGUCAUUUUACUAUAGCAUUUUUUUUUUUUUUGGUCAAUUGAACUUAGUGAAUUGUAUAUAUCACUCCAAUUCAGUUUUGCGGGAAGAAAUCAUAUAGUGAAAUGGAAAUUAAUGAAGUUCAAUCAGAUUGGGUUAUGUUAGUGACUCAGUUAAUCAUUACUCAUGUUUGAAGGUACCUCUUAUAACUUAUAGUCUAAUACAACUUCAUAUUCUUUUAAAGAUGUAGUCAAUAUUUUGUUAAUGUUAAUUUUAUAAUGGAUUUAUUCACAAUGAUAAUUUGUUAAUGUAUAUCUUUGUACUCCUAGUUGGCAGUGUUUUCAAUAUGGAUCAUUUUGGGGGUUGCUCUAUUAUGAUUGAUGUAUAGUUGGCAUAUUGAGAGGUGAAGCCAAGUAGACAUGGUAGGUGUAACAACUUUUGUAUAUUUCCUCUACAAAUUAUUAUCAGUUAGAUUUGGAGAAAUCCUACAAUAGCAUAGCUACAAAAAUUCCUGCAUGUCCAAGCUCAUUUUCGUAGAGCCUUUAGUUUCAUUACAUAUGCAUGAAUUAGGAAUUUGUCUAUUCUCUACAAAAGAAUUUUUGGUCUUUAAGAUUACUAGCUUUAUAAGCUUCUUUAAUCUCAAUUUAUAAAGGUCUCCUACUAUACUAAUGGGCUUAAAGUCUAUAAUAUCUUGUACUUCCAUUUUCUUUUACAUAAAAAAUAGGAAGUUAGUUUAAGACUUCUUAUAAAUAAGCCUAUGGAAGGAAAUAGCACCUCUUACUAAUUGGUUGUUAAAUUGUUUAUUAUAUAUUCUUCAGGUUGUACAAAAAGGCAUAGGUCAUUCUAUUAACAACAUCACUACUGCUCUUGAUGAAGGACACCCACAAACAAUUCAAAACAUAUCAUCAAAAGAAUUUUGAGGUAACAUGUUGUGGUUAUUGUAAGUUUUAUGAAUCAAUUCCAUGUUUAGAGAUCAUUUCAUGCAAGUUCCAUAUUUAGAUAAUAGAUAUCCUCAUAUUAUUAAAUGUUGACAUACUAAUACAAUAAGAAGAACAUAGAUAUUUUAACACAAUUUUAUAAUUUUACAUAAAUAUGUUAAUUUACAAUUUUAUAAUUUUUCGGACUUCUAGUUUUUUUUGUUUUUUUUUUUCAUUCCUUAGUUCCUUCUCAUGCAAAACAUCUAAUGUCUUGUACAACCUAUAAGAAGAAUGAGAAGAUGUUAAUGGUUGAAGUUUCAUAAAUAAGAUAAAAAUCAUACCAAAAUAGUCGAUGAGAUAAAAACUUUUUUUUAAAAAAAAAAAAAAAAUAGAAUAAGAGUUCUAAAAUAUUUAGAAAUUUGGUGUAAUAAAAUUAUUGGAGUUUGUUGAGUUCUUUUGAUAUUUUGAAAUUUAUUGCAAUGGAAGAAAGAUAUUUUGGAAAUUUAAAAUUGGCAUAUACACAUUUCAUUUACAAAGUUGCUUCUUAACUAUUUGUUAAUACUAAUAAAUAUGUAACCCUCUCAAUUAUUUUGCAGAUUGAGCAUCUAGAAAGUGAGUUACAACCAUCCUUUUGCACUUGGAAGAAAAAUGAUGUAAAACUAGAUGUAGUGAAGGUUAUGAACAAUUCAAAGUUGAAGAAGAAGUUGUAAAAUUGUUGGUUUUAGUUGUUGAUUAUGUAUGAUGUUUAUGGAUAAAUUGUAAUAGUGAAAAAGGAAGACCAUAUUUGAUACUUUUUGUCAAUGGAGAUUCUUAAAUUAAGAUUUCAUUAUUAAUUUAAUUGUUGAUAGAAAAUUAUAAAACAGGGCAUAAUUAGGACAUUUUAAUUUUUGGGCUAUUAAAAUUUUAUAUGAGAUAAGAUGACGCUUUUUUAAAGCGUCAUGCUUUACUUGAAUAAACAGAAGAUAACACUUCUCAAAAGCGUCAAGGUUGAUGUUAAAAAAACAUGACAUUUUUUUUUAGUGUCAAGGUAUAAAAUGCUAUACGAUGACACUUAUUAUGAGUGUCAAUGUUGCUCCUACAAAUAAAAAAGCUAUAAGAUGACACUUAUAGAGUGUCAAUGUUGCUUCUACUUAUACAAUGACGCUUUAUUAAGUGUCAACGUUGCUCCUACAAAUAAAAAGUUAUAAGAUGACACUUAUAUUGAGUGUCAAUGUUGCUUCUACCUAUACAAUGACGCUUCAUUGAGUGUCAAUAUUGACAUGAAUGAAAUUAUUAACAUAUGAUGACACUUAUAAAGCGUCAAUGUUUCAAAUAAUGACACUUACUAUGAGCGUCAUGGUUGACGUGCAAAGAAGAUGACACUUCUAAAAAGUGUCAACGUAUGCGAUUUAAAAAGAUGACAGUCUAAUAAAUGACGCUUUUAAAAAGCGUCAUCUUAUAUCUAUCUUGACACUUAAAAAGCGUCAUCUUUUGACAUUUUCCUUGUAGAAUUGAACCUCUUGAAGAGUGAAAACAUCAUUUCUUGAAGUAAGAUUAACAAUGAUUGACUCAUAUUUAGGAUAAAAUCCAAUAAGAAUAUAAAGAAUCAUAUCUUUAUCAAUAAUGACCUGACCAAUAGAGUUAAGAUUGUCAGUCAAACCUCACAUCUUAAUAAUAUACUCCUCUACACUAAGAGCUCAUUUCUUCAAUGUCUAUAGCAUCAUACAAAGCUACAUCACUUUGGCCUUCAAUUGAGACCAAAAAUGUUAUUCACGUGUGGACCAAACUUCAAUACUAGUAGCACAAUGAUUGACAUGAUUGAGCAUUGAUUCGCUCAUCGGUAAAAGAAUCUAGCUUGGAAGAAAUUGAUCAUGUCUCAUUCAAAUUAGGAAAUCAAGAUUCUAAACCCCAGUUGGUGGAGAACUAUGACUGUUACAAGGAACUUUGACAAAUUGAGGCAGAAUUAGAACAAAUCCAAACAAAAGCCUUCAAAUCUUUAAGCUCGUAUAGUUGAAAGCACUUGAGCUCGCCAUUAGUAGCACUUAUUGUGAUCCAACCAAAGAGAAAAACAUUGAAAUUUGGAACAAAAGAGGCCAUAAGAAAAUUAGGAGCACCAAAGGAAGUAGAAGAGGUCAAAGAUAUGUUUCUAGAGAAAAAUUUCAAAAACAAAUGGAAGAAUUUAGAAAGAGAAAGAAGAGAGAGAGAGAUAAAAGAAUUCUCAAAUGCAAACUUGCUCUUAUACCAACUUAGAGAGAGAAGAGAUUUGGUGAGAAUUACGACACUCACUUAAGUCUAUUAUUGAUUAUGCUAUAUAUAGCUAUUACAAGAGGGUUCAGUUACUUACAGUCUGAGCUGGCAUAACAAACUCUUAGUUGAUUAUGUUGUUAGAAUCCUUGUUAUUAGAAAAGACAUUAGUUGUUUGCUCUUUAUAUGGAAUAUAACAAACAUCCACUUCAUUAUUGUGAUUACUACUCAAAAAGUGCAAUUUGAUAACUUAUAAUUAACUCUUUUAAACACUUUUGAGUAGUAGUUAUUGCCUUUUAACUCAAUUAACAUGUUAAGGACCUUCGCAAUCAAUUCUAAUCAAAUUGUGUUAAGUUUUGGUGUUUUGAUAGCUUUUUGAUCACCAAAGCAACCCGAGAUUGAGGAGAGUUACUUGGAAUCCAUGGCAAAGCAAUGGAAAGCUCAGAAACAUGAAGAACCAAAUCUUUGAAGUCCUUUGCCAUAAGAAAAUCCGGAAUGAAAGGAGCAAAAGCAAAGAUAAAUCUGCCAUGAAGCAUUCUUGAUGACAGUCAUGUCAACCACUUUUGGAGCACUUCCUGAAGUCCAAUUUAUGCAUGCUAUAUGUCGUUUCGAAGCUCAGGAAGUCAACAAUCCAAUGCUUCAAACGGUGCACAAUUUGGAGUUGAAAUAAAGGAUUUACAGCCAUUGCAAGCCGAUCACUCCAAGCUGAAGGAAGAAUUUUGCACAGCGCUGCGAAAUCACCCUUUUGUUGCGAGAUGAUUUCGCAGCCUUUUUGUACAGUGCUGUGUUUCCCCCCUGAAGUUUCCCGUCAUGAUGGAAGCCGAAUACCACAAGAUGAAAGACCACUUCGCAGCAUUGCGAAAUUAGGCGUUUGCUGUGAAGUGAUUUCGCAACCCUUUUUGUGCAUCUGCGAAAUCUCGCAGACCCCGUUUGCAUCUGCGAAAUGGUCCCUAGUGCUUCCCGAUAUUUACAACCGACACUUGGAGAUAUUUUUCAUCAGAUUUUUGUUGUCUAAAUCCCAAAAUUCUCCUUGUAAGCUACCAAUUAUAAGUUUCCUUAGCUUUUAAGUUAGGAAAAAGACUAAAUAUCCAUGUAAUAAUUAGUAUUGUAAUUUUUUUAUAUAAAUAGCUCUGGAGAGCCUGUAACAAAGGACGACCCUUUUUGUAAACGUUUGGAAGGAAGUAAAAAUACAGAGCUUUGCUUUGCCUUACCUUCUCACUUUGAUUGUAUUUUUCAUUUUCUUAGUUAUGCACUCUUUGAGGAAGUUUCCCCAGAGAAUGAGUAACUAAACCUUUAAUUCCUUGGAGCUAAGGUUGCCGGGAAAGGUUCCAAGUGCAUGAAUUAGUAGUUUUGUGGUUUCAGCCAUGAAUGAAGAGUAAGUGUGAUCCUUUGGUGAUUUCUUUAUGUUUUUAGUUAACUUAAAAUGCCUUGAAGUCACCUAGGCCAACACUUGGUAAGGCAAGUGAUCUCCGUCCAAGGAGAUACACUAGUUUACCCUUUGCGAGCCUCUGGGAGGUGACUUGAAGGUAGGAUUUUUUAGAAUUGCCAACACUUGGUAAGCUUUUGGACUCCAAGGAGACAUCCAUUAGUUAUCUCUUGCGAGCUUUUGAAGGGAAGUCCAAGGUUAAAGAUCAUCUUGAAUGGUAAGUGCUCGUGAGAGGCAUGAACCAUUGCAAGUUGCAUCAGUCAGAGGGAAUUAAAGUUGAAAUCCAAUUCAGGGAUGCAUUUAUACAGCACCGAUUUGAGAAUUGACUAUAUGCUAAUUCUCUAAUGCGAGGAAAUGAACCAACUGACCGGAGCUAUGUUUUUGCAUGAGGAACCUCCCCUGUGAACCAAAAAUCUCCAAGGAAUGUUUUUCUUCAUAAUUAAUUUCCAUUACUUGUUUUGCCGUUAGCUUAAAUCUAAAUCUUUUUAAACCAAAGUUUGUGUUUUAUUUCUUGAGCUAACCUUGAAAUGAAAAAGCACCAAUUCACUUUGAAUUGGUAUCAUUUGUAAUUUGGAAACCCUUCCCAGUGAACGAUCCUAGAGCCACUAUACUAUAGUAGCUUUGUCUUUGCUACCCUAGUAUAUGGUGUAAUAGGUUAUAAAUUUUGUUGAUUACUCCCUCAAUCAAGGAGUACCAGCUAGACACGAAUCAACUGAGACAUCAAUUGGGCAUGAAUCAAAUGGUGUCGUUGCCGGGGAAGGUGUCAAGUUUAUAGUGAUACUAUUUCAGAGCACUUGUGAUUUUCAUCACAAGAUUGGUACCGUUUCUUUUGCUUUACUAAUUCUCAUUCUUUUUCUACUAAUUUAUAAUCCAAAUUUAUCUUUUAAAUUCAACUUAGUUUUAUUUUGUUUUUCGUAGCCCUGUUUUCUUUUGUUGUCCUUUAUUUUCAUUUUAGUUACAGAUAGAUACUAGUUGUGUAUGCCAAAUUGGAUACGAGAUAGUGGAGGAAGGCUUGUUAAAUGUGAUACACCUCAUAACAAGGAAUUGGAAUUGAGCUUGAAUAUCAUGGAAGCUACACCUGAAGAUCAGCAUAGUCACCAAGGUCGUCAAGACAAUCUCAAUGAAUUCAGAUCAAUGAGGGACCUCAUGCAUCCACCUCGUAUGAGUGCACCAUCAUGUAUAGUGCCCCCUACAGAGCAGCUAGUGAUUAGACUGUAUCUUGUUCCACUUCUACCAACUUUCCAUGGGAUGGAAAGUGAAAAUCCCUACGCACACAUCAAGGAAUUUGAAGAUGUUUGUAAUACAUUCCAAGAGGGAGGAGCUUCAAUUGAUUUGAUGAGUCUUAAGUUAUUUCCUUUCACUUUAAAGAAUAAGGCCAAAAUUUGGCUUAAUUCUUUAAGGCCAAGGAGUAUCCGCACUUGGACUGACUUACAAGUUGAAUUCCUCAAGAAAUUUUUUCCCACUCAUAGAACAAAUGGCUUGAAAAGGCAAAUUUCAAACUUCUCAGCUAAAGAGAAUGAGAAAUUCUAUGAGUGUUGGGAAAGAUAUAUGGAAGCUAUAAAUGCUUGCCCUCACCAUGGUUUUGAUACUUGGCUAUUGGUGAGCUAUUUUUAUGAUGGGAUGUCUUCCUCAAUGAAGCAACUCCUCGAGACAACGUGUGGAGGAGAUUUCAUGAGCAAAAAUCCAGAGGAAGCUAUGGAUUUCUUGAGCUAUGCAGCUGAAGUUUCAAGGGGAUGGGAUGAACCAACCAAAGGAGAAGUGGGAAAGAUGAAACCUCAACUCAGUGCUUUCAAUGCUAAGCCUGGGAUGUAUACCUUGAAAGAAGAUGAUGAUAUGAAAGCAAAGUUUGCAGUUGUGACAAGAAGAUUGGAGGAGCUGGAACUGAAAAAGGUGCAUGAAGUGCAAGCUAUUGCUGAAGCACCAGUGCAAGUGAAGCUUUGUCCUAAUUGUCAAUCAUAUGAACAUUUGGUGGAGGAGUGCCCUACAAUUUCAGCUGAAAGGGAAAUGUUUGGAGAUCAAGCAAAUGUUAUUGGACAAUUCAAGUCUAAUAACAAUGCACCGUAUGGAAAUACUUACAACUCAAGUUGGAGGAAUCAUCCAAAUUUCUCAUGGAAGGCUAGCAACUCAGUACAACAGCCAGAUCAACCAUCUCAACAAUCUUCAAGUCUUGAACAAGCAAUAGCAAAUCUCAGCAAGGUAGUGGGAGAUUUUGUUGAAAACUAAAAGGCCAUCAAUACUCAACUCAGUCAAAGAAUUGACAGAGUGGAGAGUACUUUGAACAAAAAGAUGGAUGGAAUGCAAAAUGAUAUAUCCCAAAAGUUUGAUAAUCUCCAAUACUCAAUUUCAAGGCUCACAAAUUUGAACACAGUGCAAGAAAAGGGAAGAUUUCCUUCUCAACCCCACCAAAACCCCAAGGGUGUCCAUGAAGUGGAAAGCCUUGAAGGAGAAUCAUCACAGAUGAAGGAUGUCAAAGCCUUGAUCACUCUAAGGAGUGGAAAAAAAAUUGAGAAGCCAACACCCAAGCCACAUGUUGAGGAGGUAGAAGAGACAAAGAAAGGGGAGGAAAUGGAAGACAAAAAGAGAGAAAUCAGUGAAAAGAAGGAGGACUAUGAUUCAACAAUGAAUGCAAUUCCAGAGAAGGAACUUCUGACGGAAGAAAUGCUGAAGAAAUCAACUUCUCCGCCUUUUCCUCAAGCAUUACAUGGGAAAAAGGGGAUUAGAAAUGCAUCUGAAAUCCUUGAAGUAUUGAGACAAGUGAAAGUCAAUAUCCCACUGCUGGAUAUGAUUAAACAAGUUCCAACAUAUGCAAAAUUCCUAAAGGACUUAUGUACUAUCAAAAGAGGGUUGAUUGUAAAUAAGAAAGCCUUCUUGACCGAGCAAGUCAGUGCAAUCUUACAAUGCAAGUCUCCAUUGAAGUACAAAGAUCAGGGAAGUCCUACCAUUUCAGUCAUGAUUGGAGGAAAUGUAGUGGAGAAAGCUUUGUUAGACUUGGGAGCAAGUGUGAAUUUGCUUCCAUACUCUGUCUACAAGCAAUUGGGACUUGGUGAGUUGAAGCCAACGGCAAUCACUCUAUCUCUAGCAGAUAGAUCAGUAAAAAUUCCAAGGGAGGUAAUUGAAGAUGUCUUGGUUCAAGUUGAUAAUUUCUACUAUCCGGUAGAUUUUAUUGUUCUUGAUACAGACCCUACUGUAAAGGAAGCUAAUUUAGUUCCUAUCAUCCUUGGAAGGUCAUUCCUUGCUACCUCAAAUGCAAUCAUCAACUGUAGGAAUGGGCUUAUGCAACUCACUUUUGGCAACAUGACACUUGAUCUCAAUAUCCCUAUAUGUCUAAAAAGCAAACCACUCCGGAAGAAGAAGAGGGUCCAGAAGAGCUAUGCAUUAUUGAUACUCUAGUAGAGGAGCAUUGUAAUCAGAAUAUGCAGAACAAGCUGAAUGAAAGUCUUGCGGAUGUUGAGGAAGGUUUGUCUGAUCCCCCUAAUGUGCUUGCUACUCUACAAAGUUGGAGAAUGAUAGAAGAGAUUCUACCUUUGUUCAAUAAAGAAGAAGGAGCAGCUGCUGAAAAAGAGACUCCAAAACUCAAUCUGAAGCCUCUACCCGUGGAGCUGAAAUAUACAUACCUUGAAGAAAAUAAUCAAUGUCCUGUCGUAAUAUCUUCAUCUCUGACCAGUCAUCAAGAGAAGUCUUUACUGGAAGUUCUCAAGAGGUGUAAGAAGGCAAUAGGAUGACAAAUAUCCGACUUGAAAGGCAUUAGUCCUUUAGUUUGCACGCAUCAUAUAUAUAUGGAGGAGGAAGCAAAGCCAAUUCGUCAACUUCAAAGAAGAUUGAAUCCCCAUUUACAAGAGGUGGUGCGAGCUGAGGUGCUGAAGUUACUUUAAGCAUGCAUUAUUUACCCUAUAUCUGACAGCCCUUGGGUGAGUCCUACUCAAGUGGUACCAAAGAAGUCAGGGAUUACUAUGGUUCAGAACGAAAAAGGGGAAGAAAUUACUACACGCCUCACUUCAGGUUGGAGGGUGUGUAUUGAUUAUAGAAAGUUGAAUGCUGUAACCAGGAAAGAUCAUUUUCCAUUGCCAUUUAUUGAUCAAGUGUUGGAAAGAGUCUCUGGCCAUCCGUUCUAUUGUUUCUUGGACGGGUAUUUAGGGUAUUUUCAAAUUGAAAUUGAUGUGGAAGAUCAGGAAAAAACCACUUUUACAUGUCCAUUUGGAACGUAUGCUUACAGAAGAAUGCCAUUUGGUUUAUGCAAUGCACCUGCAACAUUUCAAAGAUGUAUGUUGAGUAUUUUCAGUGAUAUGGUGGAGCGAAUUAUGGAGGUUUUCAUGGAUGACAUCACCGUAUAUGGAGGUACAUUUGAGGAAUGCUUAAUCAAUUUGGAGGUAGUUCUUCACAGAUGCAUUGAAAAAGACUUGGUGCUCAACUGGGAGAAAUGCCAUUUUAUGGUACGUCAAGGAAUUGUCCUUGGCCAUAUCAUCUCCGAAAAAGGCAUUGAAGUAGAUAAAGCAAAAGUGGAGCUUAUUGUUAAAUUGUCAUCCCCAACAACUGUAAAAGGAGUAAGGCAGUUCCUUGGCCAUGCAGGGUUCUAUAGGAGGUUUAUAAAAGGUUUUUCAAGUCUUUCAAAACCUCUUUGUGAGCUGUUAGCUAAGGAUGAUAAGUUUAUAUGGGAUGAAAGAUGUCAAAAUAGCUUUGAUCAACUGAAGAAAUUUUUAACAACAACUUCAAUAGUGAGAGCCCCUAACUGGCAACUACCCUUUGAACUGAUGUGUGAUGCCAGUGACUUUGCUAUAGGAGCUAUGCUUGGCCAAAGAGAAGAUGGAAAGCCCUAUGUGAUCUACUAUGCAAGCAAAACAUUGAACGAAGCUCAAAGGAACUACACAACUACAGAGAAAGAAUUGUUAGCUGUGGUAUUUGCCUUGGACAAAUUUCGUACUUAUUUGGUAGGGUCUUUCAUCAUUGUUUUCACUUACCAUUCAGCCUUGAAGUAUUUAUUGACAAAGCAAGAUGCAAAAGCAAGGUUGAUAAGAUGGAUUCUUUUACUACAAGAAUUCGAUCUCCAAAUCAAAGAUAAGAAAGGAGUGGAGAAUGUGGUAGCUGACCACCUUUCAAGGUUAGUUAUAGCACAUAAUUCUCAUUCCUUGCCUAUUAAUGAUGACUUUCCUGAGGAAUCACUCAUGUUCCUAGUGAAAACUCCUUGGUAUGCUCAUAUGGCUAAUUAUCUAGUUAUUGGUGAAAUUCCAAGUGAGUGGAAUGCACAGGACAGGAAACAUUUCUUUGCCAAAAUUCAUGCUUAUUAUUGGGAGGAGCCCUUCCUUUUUAAGUAUUGUGCAGAUCAGAUCAUAAGAAAGUGUGUCCCUGAAGAUGAACAACAAGGGAUUCUAAACCAUUGUCACGAGAAUGCAUGUGGGGGCCACUUUGCCUCUCAGAAGACAACUAUGAAGGUGUUGCAAUCAGGGUUUACUUGGCCAUCUCUUUUCAAAGACGCCCACAUCAUGUGUAGAAGUUGUGAUAGAUGCCAAAGGCUUGGAAAGUUAACAAAAAGAAAUCAAAUGCCUAUGAACCCCAUUCUAAUAGUUGAGCUAUUUGAUGUAUGGGGCAUUGACUUCAUGGGACCUUUCCCAAUGUCUUUUGGUAAUUCUUACAUCUUGGUGGGGGUGGAUUAUGUUUCUAAAUGGGUUGAGGCAAUCCCCUGUAAACAAAAUGAUCACAGGGUGGUUCUCAAAUUUCUUAAAGAGAACAUCUUUUCAAGAUUUGGGGUGCCCAAAGCCAUAUUCAGUGAUGGAGGUGCUCAUUUUUGCAACAAACCUUUUGAAACUUUAUUAGCCAAGUAUGGAGUGAAGCAUAAGGUAGCUACACCUUAUCAUCCUCAGACUUCCGGGCAAGUUGAGCUAGCCAAUAGGGAAAUAAAGAACAUAUUGAUGAAAGUGGUGAAUGCAAGCAGAAAAGAUUGGUCUAUUAGGCUUCAUGAUUCAUUAUGGGCGUAUAGAACAGCUUAUAAGACUAUUCUUGGCAUGUCUCCCUAUCGUCUUGUGUAUGGUAAAGCAUGCCAUCUCCCUGUGGAAGUUGAAUACAAAGCUUGGUGGGCAAUCAAAAAGUUGAAUAUGGACUUGAUCAGAGCUGGAGCAAAGAGGUGCCUAGACCUUAAUGAGAUGGAGGAAUUAAGAAAUGAUGCUUAUAUCAACUCCAAAGUUGCAAAACAGAGGAUGAAGAAGUGGCAUGAUCAACAAAUUUCCAACAAAGAAUUUCAGAAAGGACAAAGAGUUCUACUCUAUGACACAAGACUCCAUAUCUUCCCUGGAAAGCUCAAGUCAAGGUGGAUAGGCCCGUUCAUUAUUCACCAGGUAUACGUCAAUGGAGUGGUGGAAUUAUUGAAUUCCAAUGGCAAAGACACCUUUAGAGUCAAUGGAUAUCGUCUCAAGCCGUUCAUGGAGCCGUUCAAACCAGAAAAGGAGGAAAUCAACCUCCUUGAACCACAAAAAGCCUAAGCAAAUAAGGGUUUGAUGGACUUGGUUUCACCACAGUCCAAAAUUUUUGUAAAUUUCAAAGUUUUCUCACUACUUUUCAUUUUAAUUUUUGAUCUUAAAGCAUGUAUUUAUAUGUAAUUUAAUCUUUUUGAAUGAUCUCAGGUGGGAGAAAAUGCAAAGAAAUUUGAAAGGAAGAAAUCGGAGCGAAAUCAACCCAAAAACAGAGUUAAAACAGAGCAAAAACAGGGGUAUGCGAGAUUUCGCAGCCUCUGCGAAAUUAGCACUUCGCUGCGAAACCGUUUCACAACCUAAACGAAGCCGCUGCGAAAUCAAUGUGUCUCUACGAAAGCGGCUAUCCUUUGCGAAAUCAGUUCGCACCUCAUUUGACUCCUCUGCGAAAAUUUUCGCAGCUGCGAAACCAAGUUUGGCACAUGAGUGCCACUUCGUAGAACAGAAGCCCCCAUUUCGAAGCUGCGAAUCAGCUGCGAAGCUACAAAGCGUGAAAAUACCCGUUUUCGCAGUCAAAGCUCCAUUCCGCAAGGUAUUUCGCAGCUGCGAAACCAAGUUUGGCAAUCGAGUGCCAUUUUGCAGCACAGUGACAUCCCUUUCGAAGUUGCGAAAUGGGCUGCGAGAACAGCUUUUUGCUACGAAAUCGACGUUCUUCUGCGAAACUCAAAAUGACUUUUAAUAUUUCGUUAUUUUUAUAUAUACCGAUCAUUUGAGUUUUUUUUUUUAAAAAUGAUUUCAAAAGGAGGGAACGCCAUAGUAGCCGUCUGUUCAUCUCCUUGCCCGAGCCCGACGACGCACGAGUCUCCGAUCAUUUUCUCCGGUCACCACUUCCGGCCAAAUCUCGACAGUCCGAUAUGGAGCGAACCAGAGGAGCCAAAUCUUCCUCUCCUUCCAGCUACAAACGAAUCCCGCGAGGGGCGCCUGUUCAAGGCUCCACCUCUGAGCCUCCGCGAUCGAAAGCUGUUUCCCCUCCGGCGAAGCCCGCACCUCAAAAUCCUCCGACGAGGCGUUAUCUCACUAGGUCAGGGGGCCGUCCCCUGCAAAAGAGGGCCAGGGUUGAAAGCUCAAAGCCCAUAGACUUAACAGAGCAGUCCCCGGUUCCCUCACCAGAGCCCUCUCCACCGCCAUCUCCGGUGCCAGCUCCGGCGCCGCCAGCACAGCCUCAAGAGCUCCAGACGCCACUUUCUAAACCCCAAAUUCCAUCUGAGGUAGCACCUGAGGUACUAAUCAGGCGUCCGAUGCUCACCCAACCGCCAAUUGAAGGGAAUCUGGACUGUAGAGCUCGACCAUUUCACUCUGAGUUGUGCUUUGACACAGCAACCUUCCAAGUGCGGCCGGAGCUUGCAGAUUCAUUCCGCCUACUGCGUAGAUAUCAUAUGGAGCAUCUGCUGGCCCCUAGAGAUUUCUUCUACCCUAGAGUAGCCAUGGAUUUUUAUCAGUCCAUGACUACUAAGCAGGUCAGAGAUCCUACUUUAAUCCAUUUUACUAUAGAUGGUCGACAUGGCAUUUUGGGAGCUCGCCAUAUAGCAGAAGCCCUGCAUAUACCAUACGAGCCGAGCCAUUUUGAAGACUACCGAGUAUGGACUAGUCCCUCUCAGCUGGAAAUGGUCCAUAUCUUGUCCAGAGGAGCUUCUACAAAUCCACAUCUGUUGAGGGGGGAACUUCCUCCGAGCAUGUUUCUCAUUGAUGCACUUUUGCGUCACAACAUAUAUCCACUCCAGCACUGGACUCAGAGGAGAGGAGUUCUUUUGGAGGCCCUGUUCAAGAUUUCAGAGGGAUACUUCUUUAGCCCUCACCACCUAAUUAUGGCUGCUCUUCUCUAUUUUGAAGAGAAGGUACAUAAGAAAAAGCUAUAGAGAGCUGAUGCCAUUCCACUUCUUUUUCCACGACUGCUGUGCUAGAUUCUGGAGCAUCUGGGGUAUCCAUCAGAUCCUCAGUUGGAGGGCAAGCGUAUUUGCUGGGAGGUAUUUACUCUCGACAAAUGGAACAAUAUGACAGCAUAUAGAGUUGAGCAGCCAGGGCGGCCACAGCCAGCUGAGAUACCAGUUGCCAGGAGAGCAUCUCCACGUCAUAUACCUGAGGGUAUACCCAUUGCCUCUCCUACCAUAUCCAGAGCCCCUCCAGUUACUCCAGCCUCAUCAGAGCCAUCUACUUCAGCUGAGCCAAGGAUGGCCAUUCCCAUUUCGGAGUAUAGAGAGUUAUGCCGCUCACUGCAGACCUUGACCGCAUCUCAGAGCAGUCUUGCUCAGGAGAUGGCAGCUAUUAGAGCAUGCCAGGAGCAGAUGUUGACCACCCAGGCUCAGUACACUGCCAUCUUAAGGCAGCUCCAGCAUCAUCUCGGUCUUCCUUCAGUUGCUGAGCAUCUCUCCUCCACCACUGCAGUGCCAUACUCGCAGGCCACAGAGCCUCAGGCCCCUCCUGAAGAAGCUACUGAAGAGGCAGAGCCAUCUGCCUAAGCUUUCAGCCCCAGCACCAUCCAUCCAUCUGAUCAUAUAUUUAUCUACUUUAAUUUUCUUUUAUGUAUUUCGUUUUUAUUACUCUUUUAUGAAAUCCCAUCUUUUUUAUAUCUUAUAUGGGAUUACUUGUAUUGCUUUCUAUCUGAUUGUACUCGCAUGAAUUAAAGUAAUACAAGUCUAGCAUUUUUUUGUUAACUCUUAGCAUUAAUUUAUUCUUAUUUCCUUUUCUCACAUCUUUUAUCCUUUUUGAAACAUGUGGUUUCUCCAAUCAGUGUUCGAAAUUGAAAUCACUCAGGAGGUACCACUUCCUCCCUUUAAUUUCAAUCACCCAUAUCACAUUGAGGACAAUGCUCAGCUCGGUUGGGGGGAAAUGAGGAAGGAAGUAUGCUAAGUUAAAGUAAGUAUGCUAAGUUAUUUUGGUAAUGCACUUAUCUUAGUAAAUUAGUUGUAAUCUUUUACUUUCCACUCUAAUCUCCAUGGAUUUUGAGGAAAAAUUUUUAAAUUAAAACAGGAGAAUCUGAACUUUUGCUUUUCACUUGACUUAGAGUUUGGAGUAUGCUUACUAAAGUGGUUUAAUUGUUGAAGCUUCUAUUGAAAUCAAGUUUAGUCUUCCACUUUAAGCUAUUCACACACUGUGCACACUAGAUUCUGAAUAUAUGAUGAAAAACUAUUUCCCUCUUGACUUAGGAAAAUUUUGGGACUUGGUACCUUUGACCUUAUUUAAUAAUAUUGAGACACCUUAUGAAAGGCCAAUGAGCCUUUGAAAAAAAAAAAAAAAAAAAAAGAGAAAGAAAGCAAAAUGUUUGCUCGCCUUGAAACCCGAGCAAGGUCUGAGGGGUAUAUGGUGAAAAUCUUUAAAACCUGGUGCCCUAAGCCUUAAUUGGUUGGGAGUCACCGACCUCAAUGCUCGUUACAAGGGUGGAUAGGUGGAUUUUAGCAUAUGGUAGGUGCUUGGGUAUUAAAAUUCAUUCUCAAAAGUCCGGGGUAAAAUCCGAGGAGUUAGAGGUUGAAAGAUCCUUAAAGCUUGAUGCCCUAAACCUUAAUUGGUUGGGAGUCAUCGAUGGACCCCCGUUACAUGGACAAUUCAGAAAACAAUACCCCUUAAACCUUCUUAAAAAAAAAAAAAAAAAAGUGUGUUCUCUGCCUAUUGAAUUUGGUCAAUUUGCUAAGUGUUGAAAAGAGAUAGGUUGGGGGGAAAGAUUAGUUUAGCAUGCUAUAUUCGGAAGCUAUCAUCUUACACUUAGAUUUUUGUGGAAGAAUAAAGUUUGGUUCUUUGGAAGUGAAAAUGAUUUUAAAACUUCAAUCUGCAUAAUGCAUUCCCUUGAUCAAUAGUGUUUAGCAAAGUUUUUGAUAACUCUUGUUGAAUUUGAGUUUAUAUUUCUUCAAUGUUCCAUGUGGGAGUUAGAUCAUCAUGUCACUUAAAAUUUUUUGAAGUAAUCAGCAUGAUGUUGUAAAUUAUAGUAAUGUUUAUUUUUAUUUUUCUCUCCUUCAUUGCUAAGGGACUAGCAAUAUGUCGGUUGGGGGGAGUGAUUACUACUCAAAAAGUGCAAUUUCAUAGCUUAUAAUUAACUCUUUUAAAAACUUUUGAGUAUUAGUUAUUGCCUUUUAACUCAAUUAACAUGUUAAGGACCUUUGCAAUCAAUUCUAAUCAAAUUGUGUUAAGUUUUGGUGUUUUGAUAGCUUUUUGAUCACCAAAGCAACCCGAGAUUGAGGAGAGUUACUUGGAAUCCAUGGCAAAGCAAUGGAAAGCUCAGAAACAUGAAGAACCAAAGCUUUGAAGUCCUUUUCCAUAAGCAAAUCCGGAAUGAAAGGAGCAGAAGCAAAGAUAAAUCUGCCAUGAAGCAUUCUUGAUGACAGUCAUGUUAACCACUUUUGGAGCACUUUCUGAAGUCCAAUUUAUGCAUACUAUAUAUCGUUUCGAAGCUCAGGAAGUCAAAAAUCCAAUGCUUCAAACGGUAUGCAAUUUGGAGUUGAAAUAAAGGAGUUAUAGCCAUUGCAAUCCGAUCACUCCAAGCUGAAGGAAGAAUUUUGCACAGCGCUGCAAAAUCACCCUUUUGUUGCGAGAUGAUUUCGCAGCCUUUUUGUACAGUGCUAUGUUUCCCCCCUGAAGUUUCCCAUCACGAUGGAAGCCGAAUACCACAAGAUGAAAGACCACUUCACAGCGUUGCGAAAUCAGGCGUUUGAUGCGAAGUGAUUUCGCAGCCCUUUUUGUGCAUCUGCGAAAUCUCGCAGACCUCGUUUGCAUCUGCGAAAUGGUCCCUAGUGCUUCCCGAUAUUUACAACCGACACUUGGAGAUAUUUUUCAUCAGAUUUUUGUUGUCUAAAUCCCAAAAUUCUCCUUGUAAGCUACCAAUUAUAAGUUUCCUUAGCUUUUAAGUUAGGAAAAAGACUAAAUAUCCAUGUAAUAAUUAGUAUUGUAAUUUUUUCAUAUAAAUAGCUCUGGAGAGCCUGUAACAAAGGACGACCCUUUUUGUAAAUGUUUGGAAGGAAGUAAAAAUACAGAGCUUUACUUUGCCUUACCUUCUGAUGCGACUCAUGGUAGCUUAGCUUUAAAGGCGUAUCAACAAAAUUUAUACCUUGAAUACUAUUACUAAAGUAGCCAAGCUACUAUAGCAUAGUGGUUCUAGGAUCGUUCACUGGGAAGGGUUUUCGCAAACACAAGUGAUAUUCAAAUUAGGAAAAUAGGUGAUUUUCUUAUGGAUGUUAGCUUUAAAAGAAGAUGUAAAUGUUUUAGAAAGAUUUAAACUAAUCUAAGCUAACAUUAAAGACUAAAAUGAAAGGGUGUAAAAACAAGUUUCUCAAAGAUAGGAUAGCUAUGCUCUGGCUCUUAUGCAAAUUGGAAAUCUCAGGAUAGGCUCCUCGCGUUGGGGUUGCAACUAUGGUGAUGCUUGCUUCCCGAACCGGUAUGGAUUUAGCAAAUCAAGUUUUAAUCCUUUAAAAUGGCAAAACAGAUGGUAGUGAAUUUCAUCAAUGGUUAUUCACCUUAGACUUCCUUUGAAUGGCUCGUAAGAGAUAACUAAUGGUCUAAAGCCAAAAGCUUACCAAUAUUGGCAACUCAAAGUCAUUCCAAGUGAUAAACUCACCUUUCAUGGNNNNNNNNNNNNNNNNNNNNNNNNNNNNNNNNNNNNNNNNNNNNNNNNNNNNNNNNNNNNNNNNNNNNNNNNNNNNNNNNNNNNNNNNNNNNNNNNNNNNACGGAUUAAUGCAAAACUUGGAAUUGAAAACCUCACCUUCCAAUAGCUCGUAGGAGAUAACUAAUGGAUAGAAAUCCAAAAGCUUAUCAAGUAUUGGCCGUUGGAAGUUGUCCAAAGGAAAUAAAAACCAAACUUUGCAUUAAUGAACCUUUAAUGAAAAACGACUACCUUACCUUCCGGGUGCGAGAAAUUUCCAUGGGAUUGCAUCCAAGCCAUCACAUAACAUCCAUACUUUGAGAAACUAAAAGUUUUAGCCAAUCAUCCUCUGAGGAAAAGCCCUCAGAGGCUGUUUGGCUUCCAAGAAAAUAAAAUAGUAAAGAGAAAAGAGAGACGAGAGAGCUCUGUAUAUAUUCUUAGUGUUAAACGUAAUAUCUCUUCUAUAUUCUAUAUAUUUUCCAAGAGGUGAUAUCCACCCCUUAUAUAGUCUUUACAAAAGCAAAAGCUUGUGAUUGGUUAGUUACAAGGAUAAGAAAGGAAAUUACAUCACAAAAUACAAAGGAAAAUAUCUAAAGUGGAGUCGGCAAAGGCAGAGGAAAAUUCGCAACACGCAUGGGUUAUGCGAAUUUUGAAGGUGUUAUGCGAAUUUCGCAUAACACCUUGUGGAAUGCGAAAUUUUCGCAUAACCUGGAGCAGUUGGCUUCCGAAGGCGAUAUCUUCCUCAUUUCAGCUCCAAAUCGUACACGGUUGGAAGCGUUGGAUUUUUGACUUCCAGAGCUUUGAAAUGGUAUAUAGCAUGUAAAAAAUGGACUUCGGGAAGUGCUUCAAAAGUGUGAAAGAAGACUGCAGCUGCUGUCCUCUUUGCUUCUCUUCACUUUGCUUGCUUUUCCUCUUUUCCAUUGUUCUUUCCUUGCAUACUUUGAACGACUUUGGCAAAGGGCUAUGGAGCUCCAAAGCUUGGUUCUUCAUGAAUUUGAGCUUCCAAAAGCUUUUCCAUAACUUGUCCAAGUAGCUCCUCCAUCAUUUGGCAUGCUUGAAUUGAUUCAUAAGCUGAUAAAAACAUGUAAACUUGCCACAAAAUGGUUAAAACCAAUUACUAAGGACCUUAAUGAAUCAAUUGGGUUAAAUGAAUAUGAUUACUACUCAAAGGUGCUUAAAACCAUUAUAAUUAGGUCUACAAAAUAGCACUUUUUGGUAGUAAUCACCUUCUCACUUUGAUUGUAUUUUUCAUUUUCUUAGUUAUGCACUCUCUGAGGAAGUUUCCCCAGAGAAUGAGUAACUAAACCUUUAAUUCCUUGGAGCUAAGGUUGCCGGGAAAGGUUCCAAGUGCAUGAAUUAGUAGCUUUGUGGUUUCAGCCAUGAAUGAAGAGUAAGUGUGAUCCUUUGGUGAUUUCUUUAUGUUUUUAGUUAACUUAAAACGCCCUGAAGUCACCUGGGUCAACACUUGGUAAGGCAAGUGAUCUCCGUCCAAGGAGAUACACUAGUUUACCCUUUGCGAGCCUCUGGGAGGUGACUUGAAGGUAGGAUUUUCUAGAAUUUCCAACACUUGGUAAGCUUUUGGACUCCAAGGAGACAUCCAUUAGUUAUCUCUUGCGAGCUUUUGAAGGGAAGUCCAAGGUUAAAGAUCAUCUUGAAUGGUAAGUGCUCGUGAGAGGCAUGAACCAUUGCAAGUUGCAUCAGUGAGAGGGAAUUAAAGUUGAAAUCCUAUUAAGGGAUGCAUUUAUACAGCUAUGUUUUUGCAUGAGGAACCUCCCUUGUGAACCAAAAAUCUCCAAGGAAUGUUUUUCUUCAUAAUUAAUUUCCAUUACUUGUUUUGCCAUUAGCUUAAAUCUAAAUCUUUUUAAACCAAAGUUUGUGUUUUAUUUCUUGAGCUAACCUUGAAAUGAAAAAGCACCAAUUCACUUUGAAUUGGUAUCAUUUGUAAUUUGGAAACCCUUCCCAGUGAACGAUCCUAGAGCCACUAUACUAUAGUAGCUUUGUCUUUGCUACCCUAGUAAAUGGUGUAAUAGGUUAUAAAUUUUGUUGAUUACUCCCUCAAUCAAGGAGCAUCAGUUGGACACGAAUCAGCUGAGACACCAAUUGGGCAUGAAUCAUAUUGAGCACUUUCUCAAGCACGAAUUGAAUAUCAAUCUUGAUAUGUUUAGUUUUGGCAUGAAAAAUAGGAUUUGAAGUAACGCAAUAACACCAAUGUUAUCACACCACCACAUGAGGGUUUUUUCAAGAGAAUGACCCAACUCAUGAAAUAGAGAUUGAAUCCAAAUCAAUUCUGUAGUGGUAGAAGAUGAAGCACAAUAUAGGAACAAAUACCUUUUUUUAUUGAAGAAUUGAUUGACACACUUUGACAACUAGAUUGAGAAACACUAGGCUCUUGUAGUAGAGAAAGCAAGGCCUUAAACAUAGAAGAUGACUUGGACUAUAAAGAUUGUGAUUGCGUGAGAUCAAGUUGAUAGAGACCAUUCCUAAGAGCUCGUUCCACCAUAAUUUUCUUUGAAGCUUUGUCCUUGCUUAGACAAUAGUCAUAACAGAAUUCAAUUAAAACAUUAUUAUAUUUUGUAAAUUGAGAAAUACUGAAAAGAUUUUUGGUUAUGUGUGGAACAUGUAAGAUGUUAUUAAGGAGAAGAGGUUUAGAAGAAUUUUUGUAAGGUAAAAAGGAAUUUCCAAACUGAGAAAUAGCAAGUUUAGAACCAUUACCAACCAUAAGCUUCUCAUUGCCUAUAUAAUCUACCUUGAUAGUCAGAUUGUUCAUAUCGACAGUGAUAUGGUUUGUUGCGCUACUAUCGACAUACCACUCGUGAUCUGCAAAGUUAGAGGUGAAAGCAAUAUUUGCCUGAUAACUAGUCAAAUCAACACUUGAAAAGCUAAUAUCAAACCUUUUGUAGCAUUUAACAACCACAUGACCAAUCUUGCCACAAAGUUGACAGAUUGGCUUGUUGCCAUGACUAGAACCACCAUUGUCAAGGCCAUGAUGACCACGGAAAUGACAGUUACCACCAUGAUUGGCAUUACUCAAUACAACAAGAAAAGAUCUGCGAUAAGCAACAUUAGUAGAGGGAGAAUUUUGCAAAUCAGUUGGCAAAAAGACCAAUUGAUGUUGAAUCAUCAUUUCAUGAGUCUAUAUGACAAAUUGAACCUCUUGAAGAGUGAGAGCAUUGUUUCUUGAAGUAAGAUUAACGAUGAUUGACUCAUAUUCAGGAUAAAAUCCAAUAAGAAUAUAAAGAAUAAGAUCUUUAUCAAUAAUGACCUAACCAAUAGAGUUAAGAUUGUCAGUCAAACCUCACAUCUUAAGAAUAUACUCCUCUACACUAAAAGCUCAUUUCUUCGAUGUCUAUAGCAUAAUACAAAGUUGCAUCACUUUGGCCUUCGAUUGAGACCAAAAAAGUUAUUCACGUGUGGACCAAAGUUCAAUAGUAGUAGCACAAUGAUUGAUAUGAUUGAGCAUUGAUUCGCUCAUCAAUAAAAGAAUCUAGCUUAGAAAAAGCUGAUCAUGCCUCAUUCAAAUUAGGAAAUCAAGAUUUUAAACCCUAGUUGGUGGAGAACUAGGACUGUUACAAGGAACUUUGACAAAUUAAGGCAGAAUUAGAACAGAUCCAAACAGAAAGCCUUCACAUCCUUAAGCUCGUAUAGUUGAAAGCACUUGAGCUUGCCAUUAGUAGCACUUAGAGGCAAGAGGCAAAUUAGGAGCACCAAAAGAAGUAGAAGAGGUCAAAGACAUGUUUCUAGAGAAAAAUUUUGAGAAAAAAAUGGAAGAAUUUAGAAAGAGAAAGAAAAGAAAGGGAGAGAGAGAUAGAGAAAAGAAUUCUCAAAUGCAAACUUGCUCUGAUACCAACUUAGAGAGAGAAAGGAUUUGGUAAGAAUUACGACACUCACUUAAGUCUAUUAUUGAUUAUGUUAUAUAUAGCUAUUACAAGAGGGUUCAGUUACUUACAGUCUGAGCUGGCAUAACAAACUCUUAACAAACUUCCUAACAAAUACAAGCGUAAUUUAAUUAUAUCACUAAUAUCAUCAAAUGUGUUUGUACAUCUUUACAAGAACGGAAAAUAUUGUUAAAAUAUUGACUAAAGAAAUGAAAGUUGUAUUCUUAUUAGGCCACUCUUCUAAUCAAGCUCACCAAGAAAUCCUUAUAGUUUCCAAGAGCUACAUCUUCAAUCUUCUGGGUUAAAGGAAUUUUAUAUUGCUUAUCAAAUUCUUCUAUGAUUUCUUUCAUAUCAACAUUGCUCCGUGUCAUUAUUACUCGAGUUAGGGCUUCUUUUGUAUUCUCGUCUGCAUCAUCUUUGAAUGCAUUAUUUAAGACCUAAAAGAAUUGAAACAAUCAAUCCAAUACAUGAUUCUACAAACAAAUAUAAGAUCAUUUCUAAGAUGUUGUUUGUGAUGAAUUAGUCUUACCUUACUGAAAUAUGCUUGGGGAUUGCAUAGGCACUGAAGUGUCUCCUUCAAACUCAUUAGAGUGUCAAGAUCCUAAGCAAAUUAAUGAGAAUCAUACUAAAUUGGUAAUUUAAGAUGAUAAGAAAAGUAAAUUAAAGAAACCCUUCAUGUGAUUUUUCAUUGUUUUUCCUACUUAAUUCAUUCACUUUUUAUAAAAAGAAAAAAGAAAUAAAAUAUGAAAAUAUUAAAUUGUUUUCCUUUGCUACAUUUCAUUUUUUUUUUUAUAUUUAUAAUUCAGUAGGUAUGUUAUACUCCUUCCCCAAAGAUUUAGACUUAGUAACUAGAGCUCUCUUGGUAAAAAUCUUGGCUCUUACUCACCAUGGUUUUUAAAACAGAUGACAUAAUUAAGAAAAGUCUACUAUAUAAAAAAACACCUAAAACUUUUCUUCUAACUAAUAUGGAAUAUCAUAUUACAAUUUCAAUUUUAUUAUUAUAUAUCUACUAAGGGGUUUACUUAUCAUUGUUAUUCCUUCAAACAACUAUGGUACCUUCCUUUUUUUUCUUUAUUUAAAAUUUAUUUUAAUUACAACUGUUGUUGAAUUAAAGUUUAAAGAAGAAAAAUCAAGGUAUAUUACACAUAUAUUAUAAUAUCAUUCUCGUUCCUUACCUCAUCUAUAUUUUUGCCAAAAAUCUCCUUAUAGUACUUGACCACCGCCUUGAGAUGGAGCUUGCUCCUUGUUGUUAGAAUCCUCACUAUCGCAUCAUCUUCAAUUGGGUUCUUAUCAACAUUCUUAACCGCAAUUGCAAGUGUCAUGGCCUCUGAUCUAGCAAUCCCCUCAUUAACCCGCAACCCUUCAUAUCUAUACGAACUCACAAGGGCUACUAGGAGCUAUCAAUGUAGGAAAACAAAUUUUCGUUAUACCAUAAUUUACAUUAAUUAUGGAAAUAUUUAACCUUCUUUAAAUACCUUUAAAAUCAAAGAUGUCAAAUAGGGCCUUAAUCUAUCAUAAAUAAGUUAGAUUUGUGUUCUUUUGCCCUUGUACUAAUUCAAAUUGGGUCAAACAUAAGAUGAGGCUUGAGAGGGAAGAACUUUGGUGUUAGCCAACUAUAUUGUCAUGCAUUUGAGGCUUAAUUUUUAGGUUAUCAACAAAAGAGCCAUGCAUAUUAUGGCACAAUGAUUGGGCCACAUUGCUUGGGCUAGCCCAAUCUUGAAACAUAUGAGCUGGCCUAGUUUGAGCACAAAGUGGGCUCUUGUCAUCAUAUAAAAAUCAAUCCCACAAACCAUAAUAAAUUCUUUUAAUUUUAUAAAAAUAUUAUAAUAUAUUUUUAAUCAUAUAAAUAAAACCGUUAAGAGGAGUAUUUGAAAAUUUUAAUAUUUUACAAGAAGUAAUAAAACUAUCAUGAAAUGGAUUCUCAAAAAGAUUAUAAAGUAUAACAAUUGUGUGACAAAAUUGUUAUUUUCAUAUAAAAACUAUGUUCAUGCUUUGAAUAUCAUUCAUUUGAUGUGAUAACCUGACUGAAGUGGCACGAACCUUGCGUUCGAUGCCUUCAAGUCGAGAAGCAACAUCCUCGAUCGAUUGGUCGAAGAGGGAUUGAUAAGCUUUCCUAGCACCAAGCAGCUCUUCUGAUGAUCUUGUGCAUGCAAUCUCAAUGAGCAAACCAUAUGCUUGAGGACCCUUAGAAAUAGCCUCAUGCACCAAACGAGCAUCCCUUUCCCAAGGAUGCAUGAUCCAUUGCACCACAAUAUCCUGACCAUAAAAAAAUUCAAAAGAGUCAUAAGAUUGCAAAAAAUUCAACCAUUCAUAACUAACAUAUUAUCACAUCCUAAUAUAUGUGCCUUGGCAAAAUAUAAUACAAUACUCUUAGGAAAAUACUAAGAUAUUAAAUUAAUGCCUCUAAAACUUCGAAUUUCAGUUUCUAUAAAUAUACGAUGAAAUUUGGAUCAUUGAAUAAAAGUACAAAUAUAAAGAAAGAAUCAUGGUAUAAAAACAAAUUAAAUUAAGGCAUAAGGGAACAAAUUUAAGGUAUAAACAAAUGAGACCAAGUUAUAAUGGGAUAGAACCAAUAUAUAGAGUAAGGAGACCUCGAAAUGUGAUACAAAUGAAUGAGCUUGGAAUAGUACAAAAUAAUGAGACUUGAAUUACAUAUGCAACACCAUUUAUUGGUGGUGCCUUUUGAAUAGGUUCCACAAAAAGUAUAUUUGGAUAUUGUACUAAAAUGUGUCAUCGUGUCAAUUAAAAGCACUUAAAAAAUAAGUCAAUCCAAUUGAUCCAUGAGUACAAAUUGGGCAUGAAACAAUGAUAUGAAAGGGUAAGUGUUAGCAAACAAUAAGUUUAUGAAAAGAAAAUUUUAUUUUAUUUUAUUUUUCAUUAUUUGAAGUAAUGGUACUAUGUCAUUAUAUAUAUAUAUAUAUAUACUUUAGAAUUUUCUUAUAUUAUAUAUUUCAAUUUUUUGAAUACAGAAAAGUAUUUAUAGGCUAUAUCUAGUACCAAAAUACAUUAAAACUAGGUUAAAAAGAGAACAUUUUUCAGCCAUUUUCCAUGUGAUAUCCAUAAUUAUGACUUUCAGCUAAGAUUUCUAUUACAAGAAGAAGAACAUGAGUACCUUAAACCGCAUAAAUUCUUUCGUUAAGCAUGCAAUAUGGUGAUCAUCCCACCUCUCAAAAAGACGUUCAUCCUCCAAGAAGAAUUUAGGAGUUCUCUUUCUAAAGGAUUCCAAGUGCUCCAAAUGCCACUUUCCUAGGAUCGAUACCAUCGAAUCCUCAUCAACUCCAAAUCCUAAAAAAUGCAAAUUAAGGUUGCUUCAAAUAGAUGGACUACAUAUAAUUCUUGGUAAGCCUAUAUAAAAUAAAGCAAAUAGAAAAUAACAAAAGCCUAAAAAAGUUGAAUUUCACAAUUUAAGACUAUUAUACCAUAAUUUAGAGUGUGAUAGGUUGUGAUUUUAAGAAGUAUUUUUAAUAUUUCUAACAUUUGAAAAUUUUUAUCUUUCGAAUAUUAAAAAUGUUAGAAACACUUCUUAAAAUUACUAUCAAAUACAUUCUUAAAGUUCGUUUAGUUAUAAUUCUAAAAAAAUGUUUAUAACAUUUCUAACAUUUGAAAAUUUUUAUCAUUCAAGUACUAAAACAACGAAAAACAUUUCUUAAAAUAAUUUCUAAACACAUUGUUAGUGUCCAACUAAAAUAAACAAAAUUAAAUAAAAAAAAUGAUAAGAAAAAUAUAAGGGGCAAACCUGAGAAAGCCUUGGUGAGAGCUUCAAAGUCAUUUGGAGGAUCCAUUUUGGUUGUUUUUCUUUUCCCGAGUCACGCAAUAAGAUGAAAGGCUUCUCAUUCAUACAUGAAUAUGAGAUGAUGAUUUAGUAAGCGAUCCAUCCAAGGGGAUGGAUGCAGUAGAAUAAAAUGUACACAAAAAAUGGAAUGACUUGUGGGAAGAGGAAAGGCAUCUGUCCUCAAAGGACUGCAUGUCAAUAUCAUGGAGUCCUUUCACUGAUUAUGAGAUUCCGACUAUAGUGUUUGAAUUUUGCUUUUAAGACUUGAUUUUCUGAUCAAGACUUUGACCUAGGUUUGGGUGAUUUUAGUUCAUGGAAUAAUGAUUUUGAACAAUUUGAAUAUGUUUUGAUCUAAUAAUAAUGAAUUUAUAGUUGGGCUUGGGCUUGGGCUGAGCUCCUAUAUCUCUUGUGGGCCGGCAUGGGAAUUGAAUACUAGUACUGGUACAGUGUUGGUCAAAGCUGGUUUAGAAUUUUGUCGUGAAAAGAUUCAUGGAAACUUAGGCACUCAUCACGGUGCUGAAUGUUCAUGUGCCUCUUCUAUGGGGGUCAAAUUAUGAUGAAUGUAUUGUGUGAUCAAGUCCUUAUGUAUAUACAUGAUCCUACACAAAAAAAAAAAAAAAAAAAGUUGAUUAGCAUUUAGAGUUCGUUUUAUAGUGAUUCUAUGAAACGUUUUUAAUCUUUCUAACUUUUGAAAUUUUUUGUCAUUUAAGUAUUAAAAAUACUAAAAAUAUUUUCUAAAAUCCCUCAUAGACGCAUUCUUAGACUCCAUUUGAUAGUGUUUUCGAAAAACACUUUCAACCUAAAAGGUAUUUUUGAAAAAAAUAAUUUUUUUGAUAAAAUUUAAUAAACACUUUUAAAAACCAUUUAUAGUAUUAAAAAAAAAUUAACAGUGUUUUUUAAAGAAACAUUUGAUAAUUGAUUAUCUUAAAAAACUUUUAGAAAAAAACACAAUUUCAGUAAAAAAUAAAAAAUUGGGUAAAAAUACUAUCAAAUAAACUCUUGAACCUGUUUGAUAGUACUUUUAGGCGAAAUGUUUUUAUUGAAAAUGUUUUCUCUAUAAUAUUUCUAUGAAAAACUAUCUUAUGAGAUUAUGGAAAAAUGAUUUUAAUAAUGUUUUUGACAAUAUGUUGCAUAAGUAUAAAAAUAUUUUAAUAUUAAUAAAUUAUCAAAAAGGACAUAUAAUUUAAUUACAAAAAGUAAAUAUUAUAAUAAAUCCAAAACUUUUCAUUGUAAAAGAAUGUAAAAACAUUUAUAUUGUUAAAAAAACUAAAAAUAAUAAUUUUUAUAAUUACAAGAAAAUUUUGGAAAAUAUAUAUUUUUAAAUGGAUUAAUAAAUAAACAUAAAUCAUAAUAUAACAAUUUUUUUAACUAAAAAAUGAAACAAACUAUUUGAUUAUAUAUUAAAUUAUAAAUAAUAAAUUUUUAUUAUAAAAUGAUGGGUGGUAGCUACUUAAUAUUCAAAAGUUUUCUUAAAUUGUAUUUGUUUAAAAUUAAAAGAGUCAAAUAUUAAUUCUUACCCCAUUGUAUUCCUAUGUGGAGUGGAGAGUUGGGUUAUAAAAUAUGGUUAAAAUUAUACCUUUUAUGAUGCCCACAUAAUGUCCAUUAUAAGCAUAUGCGAGUUUCUUUCCUUUUGUGAGGUAGGAAUGCCUAAAAGCAUUCAUUUCGAAUAUAUAUUUGCAAUGUACACAUUAUUCACUUUAUAAAACUUGCUCAUCUAGAACGGAGAGUACUUUGGAGCCGAUUUCAACGAUGUUGAACAAGGGUGAUAAAAGCCUUCGACUGUAGAGUCUCCACUCGGAUGGAGAGGGAAUGAGGAAGAGAAAAGUGAAAGGGAAAUGGAAAUGGAGGAUAUCAGAAAACACUUGGGGGUAUUUUAGAAAUAUUUGUAAGCUUUUAAAGUGAUUUUUAAAAAAAUCACUUCCUAAGUGCUUCUCUAAAAAUCGCUUCAAGUAUUUUUCUAAAUUUUGAAAAGUGUUUUUUUUUAAAUAUUAUCAAAUACCUAUUUUUUACCUUAAAAAUGCUUUUAAAUAUUUUUAGGACUAGAAACACUUUUAAGAAGCAUUACCAAAUGGGCUUUUAAUUAUUUUUUACAUAAAAGUUUAAGACAUAUUUGGAUGUAUAGUAUUGUUAGACACCUUAAGAGCUAUGUGAAGAUAUAGGAUCUAAUAUUAAAAGCUUCAAAAAGCAUCCAUCCCUAAAAUUGGAAACCCUUUUUAUGAUCCCCUCAUUUUUUAAGCUCUUAAAUUUAUAAAAAAAAAAUGGUAAAGAUCCUAUAUCUUCAUUUCUAAUAUUAUCGGAAAUGAUUAUUUGUUUUUUUUAUUAUUCUAAAAUUAUAAUUUUUAGAAAAAUAUUAGAGUUAUGAAAAGAUUAAGAAAAAAGAAAAAAAAAAAAAAGAAGUGGGACGAUGAUCUGAAUUAAUUUGUAAAAAAAUUUCAAUCUUCUCACAACUACUUUUAUCUUUAAAAAACCUAUAAUUCUAAUGGAUAUAUAGAAAGUUUAUCCUUGAAAAAUCACAAUUCUAAUGGAUAUAUAGAAAGUUUGGUAGAUGCCAAUAUAAUUUCUCUUUUAACACUUCGAAACAAUCCAAUAAAUUGGUGCUAGCCUACUAAGCCUUGAGGCCCAAAAGAGAGCGGGCUUGAACAGUGAAGGGAUACUGCCCAGCCCGUGUAAUUACAUGGUCAUACUAUUUGGGUCAGCCUAGUCUUGAGAUCUAUGGGCCAUCUUGGUUUUGGCUCACUAAGGUAUCUCUUAGGCAAGCUCAACAUGCUUGAUGCACUUCUCUUCUUGGAAUAAGCCCAGAGUUGGGACGACCCAAUCUUUGACUAAAGCCCAUGUAAGAGCAUCUAGGCUUUAGGCAAUUACAUUUAGGGUUACUCAGUGUACUAAUGCAUGUGGCAAUUUUGACACAGCCUAACAUGAGUGAGAAAAGACAUAAAUUUUAGUGGGUUCGGGUCACACAUAAUCACGUUUUUGUUAUAAUCAUAUCAACUCAUAUAACUCAUUCAAUUAGUCAUGUUUAUGAUUUGUUUAUGAGAAAAGACAUUUAUGAUUUGUUUAACCCAAUUUAUUAAUUUUAAAUAUUUAAAAAUUCUAAAAUUUUAAAAUACCUUUUAAUUAUGAAUAAUAUCAUAUAGUUAAAAAAACUUAAAGAACUAAAGUAUAAUUUCAUUAAAGAUUAAAAAUAUUUUAUAAUUUAAUAAAUAAAUAAAAUUAUAACGAGUAUAUAAUUAAUUUUUUAAUUUAAUUUUUAUUUUAUAAAUGUAUUAUAACUUAAAAUAAAUAAUUAAAAUGAAUGAAAAGUUUAAAAAUCAAACUUAAAAGUUAAGAACAACUAAAAAAAAUAUUUUAAAUUAAUAUUCUUAUAAAAUUAAAAUUUUAAAAAGGUUAAUUAAAAUACAAUCAUAUUAAUGAGUUUAAUGAAUUAAAAUUAUAUUAAUCAGUUUAACGGGUUAUAAUCAUGUUAACAACCAGGUUUCAUAAGAAUUAGUCUCAGCCAUUUACUUUGAAAUUCUCCAAUAACAUGCAGUACAAUUUGAUUUGGGAAAAAAAAAAAAUCAAACAUAUCAUUAUUUUCCAUGCAAAAAUUAUGCUCAUAUACUUUGAAUGUCUUCUAAGUGGCACUAUCUCUCUUCCUUUUGAUGUCUUAAAUUUGGAAGUCAACAUUCUCAAUUGAUACGUCAAAGAGAGAUUGACAAGCUUUUCCAGGCUUUGUGCAUGUGAUCCCGAUGAGCAAGCCGUAUGAUUGUCGACCCAUGCAUGGUCACAGCUUCUCAGCAUGUCAAAUGAGCAUCCCUUUCCCAAGUAUGCAUGGUUCAUUGCACCAAAGCAUUCCAACCAUGACAAAACUCAAAUCUACCACAAGAUCGCAUUGACAUCUUGUCACAUCCUAAUAUGAAUGUCAUUUUUUUAGAAGAGUUGUGCAGUUCUCUCACUAAAGAAGUAUAAAUACUCUGAAUCCCAUUUUCCAAAUAUCAUUGUCAUCCAUUUCUCAUCAACUUCAAAUCCUAUAAAAGCAAAUUAAAGGGGUUUCAAUAUCUAAAAAUAAUAAUUAAUAUAGGAAUUAAAUUAAUUAUGAUUGGGUCGAGAACUUUCUCUCUAUUGCUGCUUAUGAUGAAAGCUAUUAGAGAAUUGCUAAAUGAGGGGAACGAGGAGAUCUAGGACAUGCCAAAACCUAGAGGUGGGCAUUUGUAGGAAUCUUCCUUGCAUAUAGGAAUGGCAACGAGGUGGGUUCAAGAAGGGUCCCCCCAUCCCAAUCCUGCCCGUUUAUUCAAAACAAUUCCCAUCCUCGUCCCAUUUAAAAAAUUAAACGGGGCGGGGCAGGGUGGGGCGGGUAUGAUAAAUUCUCAUACCCGCCCCGCCUCACCCUGUUUAAUUUUUUUUUUAAUUUUAUUUAUUUAUUUUUUAAAAUUUACUUUUAAAAUUUUUAAUUACAUUAAAAUAAAUAUAUUUUAUAAAUAAUUAAAUUAUCAUAUUUUUUAUAACUUAUUUUAUUUAAAAUAUUUUAUUAUUAUCUAUAUAUUAAAAAUAGUAAAAUAAAUUAAUUUUAAAAUUUAAAUUAAAUUAAAAUUUAAAAUUAAUUUUAUAUAUAAUCGGGGCGGGGCGGGGUGGGAUGGGGCAAUACUCGAACCCGCCUUGGGUUUUAAAAAAAAAAUCUCAUACUCGUCUCAAACCCGUUUAUUAAAAUUGAACCUUGUCCCAUUAGGGGCGAGGCGGGGCGAGUACCCUAAACCCGACCACCCCCCCCCCCNNNNNNNNNNNNNNNNNNNNNNNNNNNNNNNNNNNNNNNNNNNNNNNNNNNNNNNNNNNNNNNNNNNNNNNNNNNNNNNNNNNNNNNNNNNNNNNNNNNNGAAUAUUUUCUUACUACUUGGACAAUGGUUACAGUUAUUAAAUUGGUGUGAUGAAUGAGUCAUGUGUUCUACGGCACCGGAAUCUAGAACCCAAAAUUGGCAAAGGUUUCCUCCGAGACUUUUAAUACAAUAGAAAUAGGAAACUUACCUGAAAGUGCAAAUGAGCAGGUACUUGAAAAUUUGUGACUUGAGGGUGUCUCAAGAGUUAACAACAAAGCUCCCCCCCCCCCCCCCCCCCCCCCCCUAUUGCCAUCCUUACCUGCAUACGUGUUGUGAGCACAGAGGGUGUGGGGGCCAUUUUGAGAGAAAAUAGAGGGAAACUCUAUUGAAAUUUUCCUAGUCAAACAUUGUUUUAACAUUUAAGUUCAAUUAAACUUUGGUUAUUAAUUUCUUUUUUUAGAGGAUGUUUGGUAAAUCAAUAUGAAUUAAUGAUUUAAUGACUUAAUUUAAGUCAUUAAGUAGAUUAAGUAUAUUUGGUAAAAUAACUUAAUAUCAAAAUUUAAAGUAAAAAAAUGACUUUAAGUUUUAAUUCAAAAUAAUGAAUUUAUUUUUAAUCUCAAAUAUCUUUUAUCACAUUUAUCCAUAUUUACUAAGAGUAUAUUUUACAAUUAUGGCUUUACAUUCAUAACCCAUCUUUUGUAGUAAAUAUUUUUAUAAUUAAUUUAUAUAUCUACAAUAUUUUAAAUAUUAAUGUUUAACAAAUAAAUUUAUUAUUUAAAAUUAGUAAAAAUAUAAAUAUUAAUUAAAAUUAAUGAGGGUAAAUAUGUCAAUUUGAUGAUUUAGAAUCAAUUUUAAAUUAACUUUAUCAAACAACCUUAAUACUUAAUAUAAAAAAUAAGUGAUAAGUUUUAAAUCAAUAACUUAUGAAUAAUUUAACUUAAGGUCAACUUAAGUCAUUAUUAAGUAAUAAGUAUUAAGUUUUUAUCAAACACCCACUUACUAAGUUACUUAAAUUAAAAGAUAUUAGAGUCAUCAUAAUUUGUCUUCUUUGGUUCUUGGAAUCAUGUAAGAGAAUGAGAGUAAGAAUGGGAGAGAAUGCAUUGGGUAAGAAUAAGCAUUGUAGAAGUUUGGUUACAAUAGGAAACAAAUCGAAGAGUAAUGACUUGGGAAAUGAAAGGGAAUAAGAUAUAGGAUUGCUAAUGCAUGGGAAAAUGGGUAAAUAGUAGGGCUAUGUACAAAAAAGUGGAUUCUAUGCUUUUCAUUUUUUUUCAAUAUGUUAUAACCAUUUUUAAAUUGGAUUAGAUAUACUAAAUGCAUACCUAAUUGUUAAGAUUUUAGCUAGCUCAACCUCAAGUAAUCAUUGUAGAGAGAGGGGGAGGGUGAAUGGGUGAGGUCACUUUUUGCAAAUUUAAGCUAAGGCAAGUGGCAAUUAUAUGCAAAUGUAUAACAAAUAUAAUGGAAAUUAAUUGCAUAUAAAAUAGAGAAAGGAAGAGAAAUUGUAAACACGGGAUUUAAUGGUAGUUUAACGCAACUUGACUUAUGUCCACUCUUCUCAAGUUCCUAAUUGACUGAGAGUUCCACUAAUCCAAGACUUCCAACACAAGUAUUCAAGAUAUAUAAUUGGAUUUUUCAACUCUAAUGGGCACUACAAAUUUCUUCAAGAGAUGUCUCACUUUUGAAUUCCUUAAGUGAUAUCCCAUAUUUGGCAAACACUAAGUGAUAUCUUAUACUUAAAUUUUUCUGUUAAGUGAUUCCCCACACUUGAGAUUUCUUUGCAAAGGUUACAAAUUGAUAGGAAAUAUAAUCUCACAAGAUCCUAGUACAAAUUUAAGCUAAGCUCAAAUAAUAUGAAGAAAAACUAGGAUUGAGGUGCAUUAAAUGGAUAUGCAAGUUCUGAAAUAAGGUGCACUUGGAUAUGUAAGCUUUGAAAUAAGGUGCAUUAAAAACACACUCCCCCAAGGUUUAAAUAUAAUCAAGAAAGAUUUUGGAAUGUUAAACUCUUUUAAACAAUGAAGAAUGAAACCGUUUUAUAAGAGAUGAAAGCCCAAACUAGCCAUAGGCACAGUUUGGGGGUUGAUUGGUUGAGCAUCGACUUGACUAGUUCACUAUCCAUUGUGCAUUAAUUGCAUAAGCAAUUGACCAUUGGGGUUCAAUGCUUCAACUGGGGCUUGAUCAAAACUCGGCUAGUCCUCGAUUGGUCUCAACUUGUUGAACACAUGCUACUAGAAAUCAAGGGUGCACAAAAUGCCCCUCGAUUGAUAAAGCCUAACUGGCUCAACCAAUUCCCUAGACCCUUGACCUGUCGCAUUGUGAAGUGCUUGAAUAAUCCGGUUUUGAGGUUUGGAACCUCUAACAACUUGUGUAAAGCAACUUAAAACCUUUAAAGCAAGUUUAUAAAGAAUUUGACUUAAGGUUUUGAAUCGUCCAAAUAUAAAAUAUUUUAAGGCAAUUUAACUCUUGGAUGAUUGUGGGUGCAUCAAUAAAAAUACAACAUAUAAUCCUAAUGUAUCAACAACCUUACAAAAAGAUCCUAAGGAAUGAGUUUUCAUUGAUUUUCUCUUUGAGGUCUUCAUUUUCUUUUUGAAUUUCUUCUGACUUAUUUUAUCUUUAUGAUUACCACUUUAUAAAUCUUCUUGCCUAAACACAUUUAAGAUAAAAUAUUAGUUUCAAGCUUUAUUUUAUUAUCAUCAAAAUGGAGAUUAACCAAAUCUUGGUUUAACAAUCUCCACUUUUUUUUUUUUUUUUUAUGAUGACAAAAUCAAGGUUGCUAAAAUGCCCCUCCUCAAUAUAUGAUCCUUAAUUUUUAGAAAAUAUUUAAGUUUAAGAACUUUAAGGAGUAUAUUAAAAAUGUUAAAAAAAUAAAUAUACCCAAAUAUAAAUAACAUAAAGAGCAGUUAAGAAUAUGACAAGAUAAGACAUUAAAUAUGAUGCAUGCAUAUUUGACCAAUUAUGCACAUAACAUCAAUAAUUAAGAUUACGAAAUACAAGAUAGUCAUUUUAGUACAAUGAUAGCCUAAUACUAAUAUUUCAUUGUAAUUACAUCCACUCAUAACUGGGGAGAAAAAUCAAUCAUAAUACCAACUCUUAAAAUUAGCAACCCUUAAUUUUUUUUUUUUAAUUAUUAAGAGAAGACAUUUUGCUCCUAUUUUUCUCUAUAUGCUUGUGGGUGUUUGAAGCUAUCUUAGAUAUAUUUGUGGAUAGUAGAGAAGAAAUUCGUUAAGCAAAAUACAAGGAAAGUAAAAACAACUAUUGAAAUAGAAAGCUCCAAAAGUAUUGUUUUUAAUUAAUACGAUGUUAAUUUUUCUUUUUUAUUUUAUGGCAUAGAGUUUAGGUGUAAAUAAAAUAUUUUGAAUUAAAAAGAUUGCAUUUUGUACCCUAUCCAAUUCUUGCCAUGAGAUAUUGGUGAUAUCUUUACCAUGAUGAUCAAUUAUACAAGAGGGUUAAUGCUUUAAUAUAUACUAUAGCACAAUGAAAUUGGACUUGAGAAUAACCAAUUUAUUUAAUUGUACAAAUAUAUAGGUCCUUGGUACAAACAAAUAAGAGCAUGAUACAAAAGCAAUAGAACUUUGGUACAAAGCUAUAGGAAUAAUGGUUCAAUUGUAUUGGUCCAAAUGCAUAAAGAAAUGGGUCCAAAAUAAAAGGUAAUAAGAUCAAAGAUACAAAGCAAUGGGACCAUAGUACAAACUAAUUGAACAAAUGAUUUAUAAUUCUAUCAUUGAGAGUGAAAUUAGGGAUAAUAGAAGAUGAGUGACUAAUUUAGGGGAGGAAUGAUCAAUUUCUAAAUUGGAAUGACUAAUUUCAUGAAGGCAAUUAAUAGUUAAAGGAGCACAAUGUGCCUCAAAAGAGGGUGAAGGGAGGAGACAAUAGAGUUUUUCAUGUACCAUCUCUUUCCAUUGAUGGUGGAGUGAUUUUUCUCUCUAAAUUAGUGUGUCUAAUAUCAUUCAAUAAUGUAAGUGUGGUACCUCUUGCAUAUAGUUGUUAAAAAAUAAUUUUUUUAAAAAUUUAAUGUUGUUGUAUAAGCUAGAUGUUGAAUUUAAAAAUUAAGAACAAACCAGGGACAUGGUAGGACAAAAAAAAAAUGAGUUUGUUAGGGAACAUGGGAAAUACUGCUGAACCUUGAAACUCAAGUCACUUGCUUCACUAUUAAUAAAGAACUAAUGGAGCUAUUAAUUGAAGAUUCCUUUAACACAUGAAAGCAAGAUGCUUAGCUGUUGUUGGUUCAUUUUCAGGACUAAGACAAGGGUUGAUUUUGGGAAAAAAACACAUUAAAGAGGGUUUCCACGGUUCUGAAAUUCUCCCUUGUAAGUCAGAAAGUUAAGCUUUCUUUAUUGGCUUGGAGGAUAGAGCAUUUUUAGAUGGAUAAGGUUAGAUAUUAAUUUGGUGUUAUAAUUUUAUGUAUUUUUACUUCAAUAAAAAUUGAAAUUGAAGUCAAUAUCAUGAUUUCCAAAGAACAAUGUUGAUAUAUAUUAUGAAAGUUUACACUAAACAAAGCAUUUGCUUGCAUAAAUCAAAAAACGGUUUUUCCUAAAAUCAAUAUAGUUGGAAAGCAUGAUAUUAUCGGCUCAAAUUCUAUAAACUUAAACUUUUAGAAAAUAUGAUUGUCCAAUAUGAUAUCACAAUCUCAUUUGAUAAGAGAUCAUGUGUUCAAACAUUACUACAAGGACAUUUAUUUGAUCAUAUUUAAGAGGUGUUAAAGACUAUAAUUUACAUUAUAGAUGUAAUGUAAAUUAUUCUCAUUCAAAGAAUUUUAUAUUCUUAGAGGUUACCUAAUUUAGGUUUUACUAAGGAUUGAAAUUUUGGAUUUUAUCGGCGAUAUUUCGUAGAUAUAUCGAAUAUUGGACGACCUUGAAACGAUUUUGAGCACUGAUUAUCAAAUGAGAGGAAUUUUGGGAAAAUGUUGGAAAUAUCGUCGAAAUAUCGCCGAUAUAUUGGUUUGGAACUGAUAAUCAACAAUUAAAUCAGUUGUGGAGUGACGCGCAGAGCAAUGGGGAGAAAUGGAAAAAGUCGUUGAUAUAUUGUUGAUUUUUUUAGGCAGAUUUUUUGAAAAUUUUGAAAAUUCAUCCAACGGUCAAAUUUGAAUUUUUGAUGAUCCGAUGGCCUAUAUUUCACUCGUGUUUUUUUAAAGGCAUCCAAUAGUCAGAUUUGUGAUCCAAUGGUGGAAAAGCAAUAUUGACUUGAUCCAACGAUCAAAAUUAAUUUAUAACAGCUAUUUGACCAUCCAACAACUAGCUUGACCAAAAAAAAAUCCUAUAAAUACUGACAAUCCAUUCUAUUUCAUACAUAAAAAUUUGAUCUUGUUCUAUUGCUCUAAAUUUUUAUUUUAUUUUAUUUUAUUUUAUCUCUAGCAAAAUUUAAAAAUUUUGAAAAUUUGGUGGUGAAGGGGAUUAACUCUAAGUUAAGGCUAAUUAAGGUAUACUUUACCUUUCACAAAAUUUAUUUUUAUUAUGCAUAAUUCAAUUUUAUUUUUUAUGUAUAGUUUAAUUGAUAUUAUCUAAUUUUAAAAUUUGUCAUAUUAACAUUAUAUUUCAUAUGGAAUGGAAAUUGAUUUGACAUCUAUGCAUAUUUAGUUUCAUUUUUUAAUAACUUUAAAAUUAAAUUUAAUUCAUAUGGAAAUUUAAUUGUAAUGUUUAUCUAUUUCAUGCAUAAUUCAAUUUUAAUUUUAAUUUUUAUUAGUAAUGAUUCUUAUCAAUUUCAUGAAUAUGGAAAAUUUAUUUAAUUUAGUUUAAUUUAAUUUAAAUUAAAUUAAAUUCAUAUGGAAAUUUAAUUGUAAUGUUUAUCUAUUUCAUGUAUGCAUAAUUAAAUUUUAAUUUCAAUGGACAUUACAUAUAUGCAUAAUUCAAUUUUAAUUUCAAUUUUUAUUAGUAAUGAUUCUUAUCAAUUUCAUGAAUAAUAUUAAUAUUAAAUUUCUUAGAUGUUUUAUCUUUAAUAAUUUUAAAUUUGAUAUUAGUUUUGUAUAGGAAUUUAAAAUACAUGUUUAGAAAAUGGCUAGUGGAAGUGGAAACGGUAUCAUGGGUCGAGAUCCUUAUUGGAAAUAUUGUACACUUAUGGAAGGGAACAAAAAUGGAACAAUAUGCAAUUACUGUGGGUUGACAAUAAAGAGUGGUGGGAUUACUCGUUUUACAUUUUACCUAUGUCAUACAGACCCUCAUUCAAAUACAAAAAAAGUGUUCUAAUGUGCCUCCAUAAGUGAAACAAGAAAUAGGACGACUUCUAAAGGAAAAAAAUAAGGCAAAAAUGAAGAAAACUACAAAUAUAGAAGAGAUAUAAGCUGAAGUGAGACACAAUAGGAGGAAUACAUAGACAUGUAACUGAUAAAAAGGAUGAAAAGAACCAUGAUGAUGAUGAUGAUGUGUAUAUGUAUUUGGUUGACAUGCACCUUGAUGAGUGGCAUGCUUAUAGAGCAACAGUUUGAGCAUCAAAAGCUAUUGAAUGGAAUCGACAACAAAAAGAACAUUUUGUAAGAGGCAAAAGAAAAACAAGUAUAAUAUUAAUUUGAAUUAUUACUAUUUCUUAUCAACUUUAUCAAUAAUAUUAAAUUAACAUAUAUGUUUAAUUUUAAUAAUUAUAAUAGGUGAGUCUUCACAUCCAACUAGUCCAACAAGGCAUAUAUGAAGAUCGCAAAGUGUUUGAUAUUCAGAUCCAUCACCGCCUACUGCACCCUCAUUGUACAAAUCUUUAGUAGCAAGACAGAAAAAUGCGAAAAAUCUUUUCGAAGGUGGUGCCAUCAAGGAAACCAUGGGAUGUUUGAUUAGUAAGUUCUUCAUAUAUGAUAGUGUUGCGCCUAAUAAAACAGACUCUCACCACUUCAAGAACAUGAUUGUUGGUGCACAACAAACAGAUAAUUAGUAUAAUUUUAAAAGUUGUAUUUAUUUUAACAAUAUCAUUAUUAUUUAUGAAGUAUGAUUGCCACAAAUGUUCUUAUAUGCUUUAAUUAUAUAUGGAUGGUAGUUAUAUGUAUAGAACCGCUGUCUCCUUAUGAAAUCAAACACAAGUACUUGGAUAUGGAGUACAAAGACAUGGAAGCUUAUGUUAAUAUUCAAAAAGAAAAAUGGAAGACUUAUGGAUGCACGAUUAUGUGUGAUGAAUGGACUAGGUCCACAAAAUUAAGCAUAAUUAAUUUAAUGGUAUAUUCAAAAGGUAGCACAAUCUUCCUCAAAUAUAUUGAUGCAUCAAAUUAUAUAAAAUACAACAAAUACAUAUAUGGUUUGUUAAAUGAUGUGAUCAAGGAAGUUGACAAACAAAAUGUGGUAUAAAUAGUUAUGGAUAAUGGGUCGGCAUUCGUGAAGGUGGGGAAGUUUUUAAUGAAGAAAUACAAUCUUAAUUAGUCUUCGUGUGUAGCACAUUGCAUCGAUUUGAUGUUCGAAGACACCGAUAAAAGGCCGAGUAUUGCAAAUGUGAUUACAAAGGCUUGAAAGAUAACCAACUUCAUCUAUAACCAUAGUUGGUUGCUUGUGCAAAAGCGCAAGGUGUGUGGUGGAGACAUAGUUCGCCUUGGAGCAACAAGACUUGUAACCAAUUAUAUUGCCCUGGAUAGUCUUUUGAAAAAGAAGGUGGACUUGAAGAAAGUGUUUAUCAGUGAUAAAUGGGCACAACACAAGUUAAGUCGCAAAUUAAUCGGCAAAGAAGUUGAAAAACUUAUGUUUGACCAUGCAUACUGGGAGAGUGGGAAAGCUAGUGUCAAUCUAUGAGGCGCUAUACACAAUUCUUCGCAUUGUCGAUUUCAGAAGUUGCUCCUACAAUGCCAUUUGUGUACGAAUCGAUUCAAGUUAUGAAAGAGAACCUCAUUCGACUUAAUGCUAAAGAAUGGGUGUUAGAAAUAAUUUCAUACCAUUAGGAUAUGACUCUUAAACAUCCUCUUUAUGCAACAAGUAACUAAGUAUUAUCUAUCUUUGAAAGUUAUUGGUAUUUAAUAUGUUUCUUCAUAACAUUCUAAUUCUACAUAUCUAUUUUACUAUUGUAGCAUUCUUUUUUAAUCCAAGGUUUCAAUAUAAAUGUACUGAUCCUGAUCUACUUCAAGUUGUUCAUGAAGUCUUUGCGAAAUUAGAUCCUGCAACAAAAGGUCUUAGUUAAUUUAGAAAUUAGGUAAAUUAUUAGAGUUAUAAUAUAAAUUAAAAUUUUGAAUUUCAUUUACUCAAUUUUUGACUUUCAAUUAUUUAAUAUAUAUCUUAUACUAUUCUGAGAUGCAAAAAGAGAAUUUGGUGAUCAAGCAACGAUUGCUUCGAGGUCAGAAAUGGUUCCCAGUGAGUAUUAUUUGUGAAUUAAUAAUACAUUUCAUUAGCAUAUUAUUGUAGCUUUCCAAUAUAAGUAUUGAUAUCAUUUAUUUGGUUGUAGCUGAAUGGUAGUUCAUGUAUGGAAACCACACUCCUACAUUAAGAAGGUUAGCCAUCAAGGUUUUAUUGCAAACUGCGUCAUCUUCAACUUAUGAGAGAAAUUAGAGCAAGUUUGCCUUAAUUCAUACAAAGCAAAGAAAUCAGCUUGCUUACCCGAGGUUCCAACUAUUAGUUUUCUGUUAUUAUAACAUGAAACUAAAGACCCGUGAUAUGAAGACAAAAAAUGACAAAGUUGCGGAGAAAGAUUACCUCGAUUUACUUGACAUUAUAGCUAAGGUUGGUGAAGAAGAAGAUAACCAAUUAUUUUAAUGAGUUAGACCUUUUCAUUUAGAUGAUGAAGAUGGAAAUCCCGACCUACGAAUUGUCGCACAUGUCCGAGAAGUAGGUGUUGAUGUUGAAUGGGUGUUAUUUGAAGAAGUUCAUACUAAUAGUUUCAUCCAAGACAUGAGAGAUUCAUUUCUACAAGGAACUUCUCAAUUGGCAGUCACUUUUUGACCUUCUUUUGACUCCACGAGCAUUGAACAUAGUAACAGAACUAGUGUUGCUGGUAUUUCCGCUUUCGGUUAUGAUGGUUCAAGAGGAGAGGGGACCAAUGAUGGUAGCGACCCUGGAAAUGAUGGAGGGGAUGCUAGACAACAAUAGAAAAGUGGAGAACCAUUGGCAUUUAUUUGUGAAGAUGAUUUCACAUAUUGUACUCAAGAUGAAGAUCACGACUCUAGAAGAGCUAGUCCAAUUGUUGGAGCCAUUGGAAAGCCAUAUAGAGGAAGACAACGAAGUAUGACGCCAUACAACGAGGACUCAUUGUUGGCCAAUUUUGAGUCAAUGAGUAUAGAGACUCAAUUCAGUGACUCAUCAAAUGAAGCCAACAUUUAUGCCCUUUAUGUAAUGAGUUAUGGUCAACCUCUUCCAAAUCUUUCAAAUUCCACUGAUGAAGCGUGUGAAAGGUAUAACUAUCCUUUUUUCCACACAAAUAUUGUACUACCUUCCAUAUCAGAUGCAAUAACAAGGAUUUCAAAUGAGCACAUGGGAAAACCCUGAAUUUGGUAUCCAUGGACAGGUUGUGGGUAGGGCUCAACCUGUCUAUUGACUAUGAGUUGUAGGGAAUCCAUUCAUAUUAAAGAAUAAUUAAAUAUUAAAGUUAUAUGUUAUCUUCAUUGUGCUAUUGAUAAGAAUGAACACAAUUGCAUUUUCCAUUUGAACCUGUAAAAAUAUACAGGGACACUUAGUAAUUACCCAUGAAGUAACUAAAGUAAAAAAAAAAAAAAAAAAAGGUUUGAAAUCAAUCUCCUUGUGUAUAAUUAUAAAUUAUUUUCUAUGGAGGAUUUUGAAUCGAUUGUUGAAUAUUCACUAGGUUUAUGAAUAUUAUCAAUGGACUUCAAGCCUUAGAAAUGACCUACACCAAAAUGAAGAAAGUUAUGAAGAUUUUGAAGUAUCUACCAAAGAAAUAGGGGGCAAAGGUAAUGACAAAUCAAGAUCUCAUUAAGCUUUUUCUUAAAGAAUUCAUUAGGUCAAUUAUGACUCAUGAGAUAAACAUGAGAAAUCAUCAAUAAUCAAUAAGAAAAGAAGAAGAAUAACAUUGCAUUCAAAGCUUUAAAAAGAAGGUUUUAUAGUUUCAUAUAUAUUAAAAACACAUGUCAAUUUAAUGAAAUAUAAUAUAUAUAUAUAUAUAUAUAUAUAUAUUAUUUACAAAAGAGUAUCAAUCCUUUUAUUAGUAUAACAGAUUUUUUUAGUAAUAUUUAUUUUAGAGAAAAAAAUUGUAAAUUUAUUUACAUAAAUAUUUCAAUACUUUUUUUUGUAUAUAUUUCAUUACAAACGAUUUUUUAUUUGAUAUAUAUAUAUAUAUAUUUACAAAAGAGUAUCAACCCUUUUAUUAGGAAAAAUAUUUGUAUUAGUAUAACAAAUUUUUUUAGUAAUAUUUAUUUUAGAGAAAAAAAUUGUAAAUUCAUUUACAUAAAUAUUUCAAUACUUUUUUUUGUAUAUAUUUCAUUACAAACGAUUUUUUAUUUGAUUUUAUUAUAAUAGAUUUAUUGAAAAUUGAUUUUAUCUUUAUUUAGUUUAAGAAACAGUCUCCCAAGUUUGUUACAAAGAUCCUUGCAAUUUAUUUCUAAAAAGGUUAUUUCUACUUUAUAAAAAAAAAACUUCAAAUUUAUUAUUUUAAAAAAAGGCUUCAAAUUUAUUUCAAGAAAACAUUAGGAAAAAUUUUGUCCUUAUUUUAUUUUAAAAAAAUCUAGUUUAUUUAAAUGAUCAUAUCUCACUUUUAUUAAAAGCAAAAUGAUUUUUUAAUUUAUUUCUUUUAAAAGGUUUCAUAAUUUUUAUUUUUAUUUUUUUUUUAAAUGUUUAAAAUUUAUUUUUAAGAGAAAAGGGUUCAUAUUUAAUUUUUUUUUAAAAAGGUUUCGGAUUUAUUUUUGAAAAGAAAUAAAGGGUUUCAUAUCUUUUUUUAUUUACUUACUUAGUGACUCAAAAAUAAAAACAACUAAAACUAUGCAAUAUACAAAACUAAAUAAAAUAUAUAGAAUAGAUAAAUAUAAAGGGAAAAAAAACAAUAAACAAUAACCAUUUAAAUGAAAUAUAUUUAAAAAAAUGAGAUCGAUUCUUUCAAAGAUAGAAACUCAUAUUUUGUCAUACAUUUUAUCAUCAGAAAAGGUUUUUAAUCUUAAGUUUUCAAACGGAACCAAUAUGAGCAAUUAAAGGUCACUUGUGCAUCAAGUUCCAAUGUUUAUUGUAUGUUUGAUUUGUGGUUGACUAAGGUAGUCAACCAAUUGACCUAAAUAGUUGAUUGAUUUAGGGGAAUUUUCUUAAAUGAUUGGCAAAAAGAUUUCGAUUGAAGCAGAUCCUUGAUCGGUCAAGCCAGAGACUUGACCCAUUGACUCAAUGCUACAUUGAUUAUCAUCUUUUACUACCUAAUAGCUUGUAAACAUUGGUUGAGCCUUAUUGUGUUUAAUAGUUAGGUUGAGCUUCUAUCUCCUAUAUAAAAUUAUAUUCUUCAUGUUCAAUUAUCUAUAGAGCCUUAGAAAAGAAUUUUGAGUGUGCUAAGUUUAAACUUGAAUUUCAUUCUUAGUGUACCUUAUCAAUCAUAGUUUAUACUGUAUCCAAUGAGCAAAAUUAUAAAUAAUGAGUUUUAAGCUUUGUAAACUCUAUCUUGUAACCUUGUGAGGGUAGACUCGAAUGUGUGGUAUCACUUAUGGGAAAAUUCAAGUAUGAGACAUCACUUGAUAGUUUGCCAAGUGUGGGGUAUCACGUGGAGAAUCCAAGAGUGAGACACCUCUUCAUAAAUGUUGAAUGUCACUUGAAACCAAGAAUCUAAAUGUGCAAAUAUAUGAUGUUUGGUUUGAAGCUUUAAAGAUAGUGAAAUAUGAGUUUGGAAUUGAAAUGAGAGGAUAGUGGAUGUAGAUUGGGUUGAGUUCGGGUCGAAUCAUUACAAAAAUCUUGUGCUAGUAUUCCCUUCUUUAUAUAUAUAUAUAUAUAUAUAUAUAUAUAUAUAUAUAUAUAUAUAUAUAUUAGUGUCUAGAUAAUUGCUCAUAACAGUUUAAUUUGUUAUUUGCAUUCAUUUUGUAAAAAUUGUUAAAUUAAUAGAAAUAAAAAUGAUAAAUGUUUAUUGUAUUUUUAUUUGCAAUAAGUUGUUUCAUCUAUUAUGAUUAAACAAUAAUUAAUGUGUAAUAAUUAGUAUUUUAUUUUUUAAUGAAUUAAUAUUUUAUAGAUAAUCAUAAUUAUUUCAUUAAUAAUGGUUCAAAAUCAAUAUUGUAUUUAUAAUAGUGAAAAUAUUAGUCAUAAUCUAAUUGUUUCCAUUUAUAGCAUUUAUUUUUUAUUUUUUUUUCAGUUUCAAAGCAUUCUUUGAAGUUUAUAUGAAGGAUAGUUUAAAAUUUUCAAAUAAUUUCUCUAAUAUUAAAAUGAGCCCUUAAAUUAAAAAAAAAAAAAAAAGGUUGUGCCCAACAACAAUCCCAUGCAUGAAAAUUCUUAAGAUUCCAAAUAAGAAAAGAGAGAAGGGAAACAUGAACAAGGAAGAACACGACUCCAAUGGGGAUCAAACCCAGAAUCUCUGGUUUCGUAGACUAACGCCUUAUCCAUUCAGCCAUGGAGUCCUGAUACUUAAUAGAGAGGUUAGGCAUAAUCCACAUUCUCACUUUAAUUGAUUUUUUUUUUCCUUCAGCUACUUAUGGCUUAUUUGAAAGACAUCCUUCCUUUUAUUUCUUUUCUAUUUUUAUUUUUGUUUGAGUAGUUGACAACUUUAAUUUAUUAACGUUCAUCUUUUUAAUUUCAUGUGUUUAUAAAUAAAUUGAGAUGGAUCAUUUUUAUUAACUUCUUGUAAUGUAAAAAUGGGUUGGUUGUUGCUUAUUUUCAUAUUUGUAUUUUCUUUUCAUUUUUGGAUACUCAAGAGGAAUUUUAUAUUGCUUUUUUAUUUGAAAUUAAUUUAAUACAUAGGAAAAAAGAUGGGUUAUGUUUUAAGAUUCGAGUUCAAAUAAAUAUUGAUUAAUCGUCGAAUCAUAUUUAAUUAUUAUAUAAAUAAAAUAAUUAACUUGCAAGAUGUGAUUGGAUUAAUAUGUGCAUGGAUAAAAAAGUAAUUAAUUUUUACAUAAUUAUAAGCUUUUACUAGAAAGAUGGAAAAAAUAUAAAAAUAUAUGGGUUGUUUAGAGGGAUGACAAUGGGUAGGUUUUUCUUUGAGUACCUAUAAUGACCUGCACCCAACCAUGUAAAUAUUGUCUACUCUAGACCCAAAGGGGCUCUCAUGACUUUAAAACACGUCUAUAGGUUAAGGGGAGUUCAUACUUAUAUAACGUCAGAAACUUUUCCCCUAUUCGAUGUGGGAUGCCACAGACACCCCUAUGAAGACAUAACGUUCUCGUUGUAUCCUACAAGAUUGCGGGGCCAAACAAACCCUUACAUUGGGGUCGGGGAUCGGUUCUGAUAUCAUUCUAUAACGACUUGCACCCAACCGUGUAGAUAUUGUUCGCUCUGGACCCAAAGGGGCUCUUACGGCUUCAAAAUGCAUUUACAGGGUUAAGAGAAGUUCAUACUUAUACAACGUCAAAAAAUUUUCCCCUAUUUGAUGUGGGAUGUCACAGUACCCACCUCAUUGGGAAUGUAAUAGGAUAGGUAUGGGAGGAUUGAGGAGUAUAAAUGGGUCACAAUUAGGUUUUGAAAAUUUUUAAAAAACUUUAGGUAAGGUUUGGGGCAAGUUCAACUAUUGUCUUAGCCCAUCCCACCCUGAUUAUGAAUAUAAUUGAAUAAGAAUUACUUAAUUUAAUUUAUUUUUAUUUUUCUUUUUUAUACUUAUAAAAUAAAAAAUUAAUUUUUUAAAAAUAAAAUUUUAUAAUAUUCAUUUAUUUGUAAAUUAUAUUUAUCAUUAAUAUAUUUAUUUUUUUUUAGAAAAUAAGCAAUUGAAAAAUAAAAAAAAUAUCAAAUAGGGAAGGGGGGGUAUGAGAAAUUCCCAUACCCAUUUAAAGUGUUUUUAUUUAUUUAUUUUUGGAUGGUUAUAAGAAUAAGUGUAAAUAAUUGACCUACAGUCAAGACAAAAGUGACCUAUCCCAAACUCAUUUUAUUGUCAUCCUUGGUUGCAAACUUUUUUUUCUCAACAUGGUAAAGAGUGGAGAUAAGAUUUAUUUAUUUUAACAAAAGUCUACUUAUAUUACUCUUAAAUCAUCAAAUAAUCAUACAAAUCACUUAUGAUAUUUUAAAACAGGGUAACACCCUUUCAUAUUUAUUUUUCUAAAACCUUUUCUUCUAUACAACACUGUAAAAAUUUAACUUAAAAUAUUAUUAUGUCCACAUACAAUUAUUUAAUGAUGAAUUAUCAAGAGAAAGGUCAUUAGUGAUACUAAUAAAUCAAAGAAAAAAAAAUGAAACAUGUGUUUACUUUUCUCCUUUCUUUUAUUGGAUGGAAGAAAUACUUAUAAUAUUUUAUAGAAAAUGAGUUAGAAGAAGGAGAACAUAGAAUGCUCAAAGAAAAAUAUUGUCUCAUUUCAUUAGCGCUAGUUAAAUUUUUUCAAUAUUUAUUUGCCCAUUUCUCCUAUUCCACAACUUCUUUGCUAAACUAAAAACUAUCCCAACGAAGAACUACACUUAGGGGCUGAGAAGUGGGAUGUGGGGAGUGGGUGGGUUGGGUGAAUAGGUGAUUUUAUACAAAUUCAAAAGGUUCUUCCUUUCUUCCCACAACCAUUCAACAAAGGAUAAAAAUCACAAGCAAGCAUGAAUGCAACAAUACUCUCCUAAUAAUUUAUAGAUGCAAGUCAUGUGCAAAUGCUUCAACACUCCCCAAUUACAUUAAUUCAUAAGAAUAAUUAUUUCCGUAAUACAUUUUGAAUUACCCUUUGAUACCAUUAACAAUAUGAACAAAAAAUUUAUUGAAGAAUAUCCAAAAGGUAAUCACACCAAUUUUAGCUCAUAUUUUAUCAUUUCAACAUACAUGCUCAAGUAAAAAAUAAUAUCUAAUAUUGGAAAUAAAUCAAAGAGUAGAAUGAAAGUAAGAGAGAUAAUGACACCAAAUUUUACAUGAAAAAUCUCCUUAGAGAUCAAAACUAUGAACCUACCAACGAUAAAGAAUUCCUCUAUGACGAACAACCAAUUUGUACAAGGUUUUACUUAACUUAAGCUUGCUAAUCCUUCAUAGACUACAUAACCAACACCUUCUUACUUUAGCUGCAUGCGUUCAUCUUCCAUAAUAUACUUGGAGUCCUCACCAAGUUUGAUCUUGAUCUUGAAGUUCAAUUAAGAAGAAAAUGAGUUUUCACCUAAAACCUAAAUAGAUAGGAAAUUGAAAGAUGAAUGGAAUAGAAGAAUCAACCCCUUUUUUUUUUUUUAAGGAAAUCUAUUGGAAUAUAGUUUGGAAAUCAAGAUGAAAAAGGGAAUUUUCUUGACAACCAAACACCCUUAACUAGAUAAGGAUAGAGAGAGCUCAAGAGAGAAGGAGAAUGGUUGCAGAUAUCUAUUCCCCAAAAUAGGAAGCAAUUUUAGGUUUUAAAUGGAAAGAACCCCUUGAUCCAAUGGUUAAGAAAAAAAAAAACCUAAAUCAAUUUGACCAAAACCUGGAUCAAUUUUAGAACAUGACAUUUAAACACCUAGACAAAAAUAGUUGUCCUGGCUUCCUCAACUCUUUUUAGAAACAAAUAGUUCUAGAAGAAACACUUUGAAAAACUUUGGUUGAUUCCAUCUCAUCCAUCUACAACCUCAACUAUAUACCUUAGUCCCUUAGUAAAUUCAAUAUGUUGAUCUUCAUUAGGCUAGUAGUCUGAGGAAGGAUUUGGAAAAACUGAGUUAAAUACUUAGGAAAUUUGUCUGGAAUUACUAAUCUAGCUAAACACUCAUAAAAACAUAAAUACUUGUAUUACUUUAUCAUAAAGCUUCCCUUAUUGUUUUUGGGUCUUUGCAAAAUCAUCAAAUAAGAACAAGUGAGAACAAUGUGCUCUCCAUAUGUCUUUUAAGUGUUUUUUUUUUUUUAUUCUAACAAAUGGAAACCACAAUUCCCAACAAAGCCUUUAUAUUCCUCACAAUGCUCUCCAUGGAUAGUUUAUGCUAUCAUGAAGAAAUAAUUCGGAUAUUGAUGAGUACAAGAAGCAGCACAUCACUUAUCACAACUUUUAACCUCUACAAAGAUGAACAUGACAUUUCCAUCACUAAGUUACAAAUGAUAGCAAUCACUUCAUCUUCUUUAACUGAAGCACAAUUUUUUUGGUAGUUGAGUUUGAAUUUCUAGUAGGGUUUUUGCAUUGAAUCAACUUCAAGGAAGCAUUAGUAGAUCUUUAAUUAGAUUUACAAAAGUAGUACUUGUGUGCAACAUUCCAACUAGUCCUUUCUACAUAUUGUUAAUGAGUAAAAAAAUGCAUGCAAUUCAUAUUUGAGUCUAUCUAUUUUCAUGAAAACUCGAGGAACUUCCAAUCCAUAGGCACUUGAUGCCUGCAUUGCAUGAAACCUUUUGUUGCAUCAAAAACCCUAAAAAAUAAUUUGCAAAUGUGAAAUUUCGAUAGCUAGUACUAGUAGAAACUAAUGAUUUCAAGAACCCAAUCGAAUUAUGUUAUUUACAUAUUUCACAACAAAAAGAGCAAAUUUGAUCAAGAUAUACUUUGUGUGAUUGCUAUGAGACUUGAGAAGGACUAGAAGGUGAUCAAAGAGCUAUUCUACAAGAGGAACAAUGUCUCUCUUGAUGAUGUGGUAGUCAAGACACUUCAAACAUUACAAGGAUGGUAUAAAUAGGUUUUUUUUUUUUUUUUUUUUUUUUGCAUGCUUGUUAAUGUAUGAAUUGAAGCAAUUAAGGCUAGAUUAGUUGGAUUGACAUCAACAUUAGAGCUUGAGUUGAUUUGAGAUAUCACUCAAUUAGAUUGAUUAAUGUACAACCUAAACUUGAUUAAUGUUCAUCUUCAAUCUUCUUGGUUAGAGGAGUUCCAUAUUGCUUAUUAUAUUCCUCAGCAAUGUCCUUUAUAUCAACAUUGGCUCGGGUUACAAUAACUCGAGUUAAGGCUUCUUUUUCAUCCUCGUUUGCGUUAACUUUCAUUGCCGAAUCUUAAAUCUAAGAUUAAAAAAAAAAAAUUGUCCAAGAAAUGCUUCAACCAAAAAAAAAAAAAAGAUUAUUUUUUUAAUGUGUUAUAGUGAAUUUAUCUCACCUUACUGAAAUACAUCGGAUGAGCAUACAAGCAAUAAAUUGUGUUCUUCAAACUUGUCUCAUCAAGAUCCUAAACAAUGAGGAAUUAUAUUAAAAUGAAUAUUUUUGAAAGCUAAUUCAAGGAAAAAUGAGUUCUAAUAAAUAUUAAAAUGAAAAGAAUUGUUCAAAGUAACACAGGAAUGAGAAUUGUUUUUUUUUUUUUAAAAGAAUUUAUAAAAAAUACUGGAGUUUAAAAACAAUAUAAUGAAUAAGAAUAAAAAUAGAGUAAAAAAAAAAAGGCACAUGAGUGGACCACACAAAUAAUGUUCCAUGAUUCAAAACAAUAUGCUUUUCCUUAUAAUUUGUAUGUCCAUAAUUUUACAUGUUAAACUAUUAGCAAAGUAUAUAUUUCAAUUUAAUUACUUCUUAGAAUGUAUUUGGCAUGUGAAAAUAAAACAAAAAUAAAGAUAAAUCAUAACAUCACGUAAAAGAGAAAAAAUUAAAAUCCAAAAAACAAAAAAAAAGAAUUUUGUAUCCACAAGAUUGAAAUUUUAAUUUCAUUCUUAUAUUUAAUAAGUAAUUUGGACUUAGAAGAAAUAAAUAGGAAAUGAAAUAGGUUCUUUUUAUUCCUAUACCCAUUUUCUAUUCUAGUGUUUCAAAUAUGUAAAGUGAUAAUAGUAGAGGAAAAGGGAAGAGAAGGAAAUACAAGGAAGAGGAAAAAGGAGCAAAGAAAGAGAAAAAAAAAAAGAACAUAAAAUAACAAAGAAGGAUAACAAAUACUAACUUUUAAGUUAAAUACUAAUUACCUUUCAUUUUUUUUUCUUUUUCACUUUAUUCAUUUAUUAUUGUUUAAGUAAAGAAUAAAAAGUGCAUUUGAUAUGGAGGAAUUAAAAUACAAUAGGAAUGUUGGAUGACGUGUAUUAUGUAAAAAAAAAAUUAUAAUAAUAUAUAUACUUAAGAAAAAUUGUGUUUUCACACAUUCACUCAUGUAAAAAUAAGGAAAAAGUGUGUUUUCAUAUACUUGCAUAAAAAUAAUUACAAAAUAGGAACUUUGUAAAAAUGAUUCAAGUUUUAUGCACUCAUCUAAUCAAAUAUAGUAUCUAUAUCAUUAAAAUAUAGUAUUUGAAUGAUCAAAAUUGUAAUUUGAGCAAAAGUGCAUGAAAUGCUAAUUAUUUUUAGAUAACUACUUGAAAUUUGUAUUUUAUAAAUUUGAGUUCCCAUUUGGUGGUUUUUUCAUAUAAAUGUAUGGAAACACAUUUUUUUUUUUUUUACUUCUCAUUUCCAUUUUUUAAAUAAUUCAAAUAUAAUAAUGAUUGGAAAAUAGAAUAGAUUUCCUAUUCCUAUUUCAUAUUCUAAUGUUUCAAACAGGCCAUAAGAAUUAACAAAUAUAAUAUCAUGAUUAUGUUAUACCUCUUCAAUUUUCUUGUUAAAAGUCUUCUAGUAACAUUUGAAGAUGACCUUGAGCUGAGGCUUGCUUCUUGUUGCUAGAAUCCUUACAAUCUCUUCAUCUUUGAAUAGCUUCUUCUUAUAACCUUGUCUAUUAAUGGUUAUACCAAGUUUUACAGCCUCUGAUCUAACUGCCACAUCACUAAUUCGUGAUCCUUCAUAUCUGUACGUACUUACAAGUGCUACCAAAAGCUGUUGAUACAAGAAGCAAUUUUUCAUUACAUUAUUUCAUGUUGAUUAUAAUAUUUGUUACAUGGUUUCUUUAUGUGGUUAUGAGUUUUUAGUUAUCAUUAGAGAGAAUGUGUUUGAUUAAAGCUCUCCAAAAUCAAAGAUGUGGGAGGGAAAGAACUAUGUUUGGUUGGUGGGCAAAAUGGGCUUUCAAGUUUCAAAUUACGACAUACAAUGGGCUAGGUUCAGUUAAGAACAAGACUUUGAGGGUGUUUGUCUUUUUAGCUUUUUAUUGAAAGCAAUUUGCUUUUGGACUUUAAGUUGUUUGUUUUUUUACUUUUCAUGACUUAUUAUAAAUUUUUGGUUGAAUAGAAAAAACUAAAAUAUUUGGUUGAAUAGAAAAAAUCAAAAUAUUUGGCUUUUUCUAAAUGGAUAAAGUACCAUGUUGUUUUUCUUUACCUUUUAAUGCUUAAUAGAAAUAAAAUAUUAAAAAAACAAACAACCUAAUACUUAACAAUAUUAAGCACUAUUUAGUUUUAAUUUCUAUUUAAAAUUAAGUAAGAAAACAAACACCACCUUAUGCUUUUUGGCCCAUAAAUGAACUUCAAAUUGGAUCCAAAAUAUGAUAAAGCUUGAAGUCCAAUUUAUUAUGGUUAGGCUUAGGGGUUGUACAGAUUAUUGGAUGGAGUUUUUGAAGUGUUGGACCAAACUAAAAUGAAAUCUCAACUAUUGAGUUGAUAUUUGAUGAUAUUGAUAGAUAAUUAAACUAAGAGCCCGUUUGACAAUGAUUUUAGGAAGUGUUUCUAACAUUUUUAAUGCUUAAAAAUUUAUAUCAUUCAAGUGUUAGAAAGACUAGAAACAUUUUAUAAAAUUACUAUCAAACGCACUCUAAAAGUAUGUUUGACAAUAGUUCUAGAAAGUGCUUUUAACUUAAAAAGUGUUUUUGAAAAAAAUUAGAUGUUUAGUAAAAUUUAGGAAACACUUCUAAAAAUAUGAAAAAUCACUUGUAGUAUUGAAAAGUCACUUAUAGUAUUUUUUUGGAGAAACACUUGAUAAAUGGUUUUUGUAAAAAUAUUUCUAAAGAAAACACUUCCAUUAAAAAUACUUUAAGUUGCCAAACACACUUUAAGAGUAUAUUUGACAGUGUUUCUUCUUGAAGUGUUUUUAGCCUAAAAAGAGUUUUUGAAAAAAAUUGGAUGUUUGGUAAAAUUUAGGAAACACUUCUAAAAAUAUGAAAACUCACUUAUUGUAUUGAAAAGUCACUUAUAGUAUAUUUUUUUGGAGAAACACUUGAUAAAUGAUUUUUUUAAAAAAAAAAUUUGAAGUGUUUUCUACAUUUUUCCAAACAGUUGAUUUUUCUUCAAAAACAGAUUUCUUAUUUCUUUUUUAUACUAAAAGUGCUUUCUAGAAAUACUAUCAAUCGGACUCUUAAAUUACCUUUCAAAUAUGACCAAAUUGCUUUCUAAAUAUGAUCAUCUUACAUAAUUAUGACCAUAGUAAUUCUUGAUUGGUUCAUUAACAUGACUAUAUAUAUUACCUCUCACAGUAUCCUAACCAACACUGCACCAUAUAAAACUCCAUUAUUGAGAAAAGACACAAUUAUAGGACUUUCUAGGAGUCCAACUAAUGGGGACAAAAAAAAAGUUCGAAACUCCAAUUGUAGAAGAGUAGGCUCAAAAGAUCAUUUGCAAUUGCAUACUUUAUGGAGAAAAUAUAUGUUAGAAAGAAAGACGAAUGCCAUCUUUUUAAGAAAUAAUUAGUCAAAAUGCUUCAAUAAAUUAAUAAGAUAGAAAUGCUCUUUACUUGAUUAAAAAUUGCAUAAUAUCUCACUAAUCUAGGUCAAUUUUUAUUUUCAAAUAAAACAACUAAAAAUAAUGCUCAUACACUUCAAAUAUAGUUUGAUGCAAAAAAGAAAAAAAGAAAAAAAAAACGUAACUAAAAGUAGUACUAACCUGGCGUUUGAUGCCUUCAACUCGGGAAGCAACAUCUUCCUCGAUGGAUUCACCAUAGAGGGACUGGUAUGCUUUCCUAGCUCCCAAGAGCCCGUCUGAUGAUUUGAUGCAUGCAAGUUCAAUGAGUAAGCCAUAUGCUUGAGGGUGUCCGUCCAAAGCCUUCCUUGCCAUGCGAGCAUCUCUUUCCUAAGGAUGCAUGGUCCAUUGCACCACAACAUCCUGACCACAAAAAUGUUAAAAAACUAAUCAUAUUAUUGUAAAAACCAAUAUUUAAGUCAUCAUUUGUCUCCUUGUCUUUUCUAAUUGGCUUGUAAUUUUUGUUUUCUCAUAAGAAUUAAUUUUUUUUAAAAGAUAAAAUAAUAUAUAAAUAUCUUUAAUUUUAUGUUUCGCAUAAAUACCUAAUUUUAUAUUGGACAUAUAAUACCUGAAAACGCAGAAAUUCCUUUACUAGAAAUGCAAUAUGAUAAUCUUGCCAUCUCUCAAACAAGAAGUAUUUAUCCUUAAGAAAGAUGGAAGAACUUUCAUUCCUAAAAGUUGUCAAGUCUUUUGGACGCCAUUUUACUAAGAUCUCCAUCAUUGAUUUCUCGUUAACUCCAAGUAUUCCUAGAAAGGUAAAUCAAGAUUAUUUCAACCUUCUAAUCAAUAUUAAUAAUGAAAGAACAAAGAAACAAUUUGAAAUCAUAUGGGACAUGAGAUCACAUGAAAUCAUCCAUAUUGUCACAAAUUUUCACUAGAAUUAUUAAAAAAAAUAACAUACCACAAUAAGUACAACUAGAGUAAACAAAUUGAAUGUAAAAGAAUGCAGUUGUUUGUGAUUUAGAAAAAAUAAAGUCAAGGGAGAAGGAGAAAGAACCAGAGAAAGCCUUUGUGAGAGUGCGGCUCUCAUUUGGCAAAGACAUAAUUUUUCUCCCUUCUUCGUUUGUUUUCUUUUUCCUUCUUUUGAUGUAGGCAUCAAGAAUGGUGGCCUUCUUUACCUCCAUCAGCUGCAUGCCUUCAUCUUUUGGAACAUUCUUGAAGUCCUCACCAAGCUUGACCUCGACUUCUUCAAGUUCAAUCAAGAAGAAAACGAGUUUUCAUCCAAAACCUAAAUAAAUAGUAAUUGAAAGAUGAAUAGAAUAGAAGAAGAAAAUGAGUUUUCAGCCAAAACCUAAAUAAAUAGGAAAUUGAAAGAUGAAUGGAAUAGAAGAAUCAACCCAUUUUUUAAGAAAAUCUGAUGGAAAACAAUUUGGAAAUCAAGAUCAAAAAGAGAAUUUUCUUAACAACUCAACACGCUUAAUUAGAUAAGGAUAGAGAGAGCUCCAGAGAGAAGGAGAACGGCUGCAGGUAUCUCCUCCCAAAAUAGGAAUCAAUUUUAGGUUUUAAAUGGAACGAAACCCUUGAUCCAAUGGUUAAGAAAACAUAAAGAAAAAAGCAACUUGAAUCGACCUGACCAAAAUCUAAAUCGAUAUUGAAACAAGGCGUUUAAACACUUAGACAAGAAAAGUUGUCCUGACCUCCUCAACUCUUUUAAGAAAUAAAUAGUUCUAGAAUAACUAAUUGAAAAACUUGGUUGAUUCAUUUCGUCCAUCUACAACCUUAACUACAUCUUUUGGUCCCUUAGUAAAUUCAACAUUUUGAUCUUCAUUAGGCAAGUAGUCCAAAGAAGGAUAUGGAAAAAUUGUGUUAAGAGACACUUAGGAAAUUUGUCCAAAAUUAUCAACCUAACUAAACACUCACAAAAACAUAAAUACUUGUAUUACUUUAUCAUAAAGUUUCCCCUAUUGUUUUUAGGUCUAGAAAAAUCAUCAAACAAUUUCUGGACAAGGUGUAACUAGAUGUUGCCGAUGCCAAUGGAGUUGUGCUUGUAGAGAUGAGCCUCAAGUAGAGAAGGAGCAUUGCUAAAGAACAAGUGAGAAUGAUGUGCUCUCCAUAUGUCUUCUAAGUGUUUUUAUCUUUAAAUAUGUUCUCUGAAAACACAGUUUUGAGAAGACAUAGAACAACAUUGUUUUUUAAAUCACCAUUUGUCAAACAUGUUUUUAAGUGUUUUUUAUUCUAAAGAAUGAAAACCACACUUUCCAACAUAGCCUUUUUAUUCCUCACAAUGCUUUCCAUGGAUAGUUUAUGCUAUCAUGAAGAAAUAAUUUGGAUAUUGAUGAGUACAAGAAGCAACACAUCGCUUAUCACAACUUCCAACCUCUACAAAGAUGAACAUAGCGCUUCCAUCACUAAGGUGCGGAUGAUGGAAAUUACUCCAUCUUCUUUAACUGAACCACAAUUUUAUUUUAUUUUUUUUUGGUAGCUGAGUUAGAAUUUCUAGUAGGGUUUUUGCAUUGAAGCAACUUCAAGGAAGUAAUAGAUCUUUAAUUAGAUUUAUGGAAGUAGUACUUGUGUGCAACAUUCCAACUAGUCCUUUCUACACAUUGUUAAUUAGUAACAAGUGCAUGCAAUUCAUCAAUGACUCUUUGCCUAUUUUCAGGAACUUCAUCAAGGACUUCCAAUCUAUAGGCACUUGAUACCUACAUUGCAUGCAACCAUUUGGUGCAUCAAAAACCCUAAAAAUACUUUGCAAAGGUGAAAUUUCCAUAGCCAAUACUUGUAGAAACUAGAUUGUAUUUCUUGAUUACUAGUAAAAUUCUAAUGAUUUCAAGAGCACCCAAUCCAAUUGUGUUAUUUGAGUAUUGCAUAACAAAAAGAGAAAAUUUGAUGUAGUUAUACUUACUUUGUGUAAUUGUUAUGAGACUUGAAGGUGAUCAAAAAGCCAUUUUCUGAUUAAUUAAAUUUUAUGGCUAAUAAUAAUUGCUCAUAGACUUAGAGCAACAAACUCGCCAAAAAAAUAUAUAUAUAUUGUGGAAAAAAAAUCUUUUAUCACAAGAUACUAAUUUUUAAUCAAAAAUUAGUUUGUGACAAAACCUCAUAUUUGUUGUAGUGGCAUUACAAGGAUGGAAUAAGUAAGUUUUUUUUAAUUUUUUUUUUUGCAUGCUUGUUAAUGCAUCGUUCGACAUGAUUAAGGUUGAAUUAGUUGGAUCGACAUCAACCUUAAAGCUUGAGUUGAUUUAAAAUACCACUUAAUUAGAUUGAUUAACGUACAAUCCAAACUUAAAUUAGGGUUCAGAGUUUAUGAUUUGGUUUGGAGAAGAAGUUGGCCAAUUAACCUAAUGCCCAAAAGACCACUUUUUUAAAAAAGAAAAAAAAUGCUAUGAAGAUAGGUUUUUUGAAAUUAAAUGAUAUUAUCACACACUAUCCUUAAUCCAAAUAGAAUAUUAUUAUAUAACCAAGCUUCAAUCAAUUAAAAGGCAUGCUUUGGAACUCAAUCAUACUAGAAUUAAUGAUUUAUUAAAGUUUCACUUCAUAGGAACACCACACUUUUUAUUAUUACACAUUGCUCUUGCAAACAUAGGAAAAUAAAGCAUUAGUAGAGUUUGAUUCAAAGAAAAAGAACAAGUCCAUCAAGAGAGGCAUUUUUAAUCACUUCCUUUAGGCAGAGCUCUUUGGACCAACGUGACCAAGAAAUCUUUAUGAUUUCCAAGAGCUACAUCUUCAAUCUUUUGGGUUAGAGGAGUUUUAUAUUGCCUAUCAUAUUCCUUAGCAAUGUCCUUCAUAUCAACAUUAGCUCGGGUUACAAUAACUCGAGUUAGGGCUUCUUUUUCAUUCUUGUUUGCAUUAGCUUUCGUUGCUGAAUCUAAAAUCUAAGAUUAAAAAGAAAAAAAAAAGUUCAAGAAAUGCUUUAACAAACAAAAAUAAAAAGAUCAUUUUUGUAAUGUGUAUAGUGAAUUUAUCUCACCUUACUGAAAUACUGUGGAGGAUCACACAAGCAAUAAAUUGUGUCCUUCAAACUUGAUUCCUCAUCAAGAUCCUAAAUAAAUUAAAUACGGAGGAAUUAUAUUAAAAUGAAUAUUUAUGAAAGCUAAUUCGAGGAAAAAUGACUUCUAAUAAAUAUUAGAAUGAAAAGAAUUGUUCCCAGUAACACGAGAAUGAGAAUUGUUGUCCUACUUAUUUAUUUAUUUUAAAAAAAAGAGAAUUUAUAAAACAAAAAAUAAUAAAAAUAGAGGAAAAAACUAAAAAAUAAUGUUCCAUGAUUUGAAAUAAUAUGUUUUUCCGUAUAAUUUGUAUGUUCCUGAUUGUACAUGUUAAACUAUUAGCAAAGUAUAUAUUUCAAUCUAAUUACUUCUUAGAAUGUAUUUGGUAUCUGAAAAUAGGAAUAAAAAUAAAGAUAAAUCAUAACAUCAUGUAAAAGAGGAAAACCAAAAUUUGAACAAGAUAGAAUUUUGCAUCCACAAGAUUGAAAUUUUACUUUCAUUCUUGUAAUUUAAUAAGUAAUUUGGACUUAGAAAUGAAUAGGAAAUGGAAUGGUUUUUAUUUUAUUUUUUAUUUUUUUAUUUAUUUUUCAUUCCCAUUUUCUAUUCUAGUGUUUCAAAUAUUACACAAUUUUUCUUUAAUUUUUUCCAAGUAAAAAAGUGAUAAUAGUAGAGGAAAUGAGACAAUAGGGACAUAUAAGAAAGAGAAAAAAAUGAUAAUAGUAGAGAAAAUGGGACAAUAGGGACAUAUAAGAAAGAGGAAAAAAGAACAUAGGAUAACAAAGAAGGUAACAAAUACUAACUUUAAGUCUAAUGCUAAUUAACUUUCACUUUUUUUUUUUCUUUAUUUCACUUUAUUCAUUUAUUAAUAUAUAAGUAAAGAAUAAAAAGUGCCUUUGAUAUGCAGGAAUUAAAAUAUGAUAGGAAUGUUGGAUCACAUGUAUUUUCUUAAAAAAAAAAAAGGGAAAUCAAAAUUUUUUUGGUAAUAAUUUAUUUUUUUACUUCUUAUUUCUAUUUUUGAAAUUAUCCAAAUGUAAUAACGAAUGAAAAAUGGAAUAGAUUUCUCAUCCCCAUUUCAUAUUCUAAUAUUUCAAAUAGGCUCUAAGAAUUAACAAAUAUAAUAUCAUAAUUAUGUCAUACCUCUAUAAUGUUCUUGUUAAAAGUCUCCUGGUAACAUUUGAUGACAGCCAUGAGAUGAAUCUUGCUUCUUGUUGUUAGAAUCCUUACGAUCUCUUCAUCUUUGAUUAGCUGCUUCUUGUCACCAAUACUAAUGGAUUUUUCGAGUUUUUGAGUGUCCAAUUUAAUUGCCCGAUCAUUAGUUUUUGAUCCAUCAUAUCUGUAUGAACUUACAAGUGCUACCAAAAGCUGUUGAUACAAGAAGCAAUUUUUCAUUACAUUAUUUCGUGUUGAUAAUAAUAUUUGUUGCAUGGUUUCUUUAUGUGGCUAUAAGGUUUUAGUUAUCAUUAGAGAGAAUGUGUUUGAUUAAAGCUCUCCAAAAUCAAAUAUGUAGGAUGGAAAAAACUAUGGAAAGGGUUGGACCAAACUAAAAUGAAAUCUCAACUAUUGAUUUGAUAUUUGAUGAUACUAACAAAUAAAUAGACUAAGAGUGCGUUUGAUAGUGAUUUUAGAAGACGUUUAUAGCAUUUCUAACACUUAAAUGAUACAAAUUUUAAAGUAUUAAAAAGUUUGGAAACACUUCCUAAAAUCACUGUCAAAUGGGCUUUAAGAGUCUAUUUGACAGUAAUUUUAGGAAGUGUUUUUAACAUAAAAAGUUUUUUUGGAAAAAAAAAUUGAUGUUUGAAAAAAUUUAGGAAAUAUUUUUAAAGAUUUGAAAAAUCACUUAUAAUGUCUUUCUUUUUUUUAAGAAACACUUGAUAGAUGAUUCGUCUAAAAACACUUUAAUUAAAAAUACUUCGAGUAAAAACACUACUAAAUGCACUUAAAAAAUGUAUUUGGCAAUGUUUCUAUUUGAAAUACUUUUAAUAGAAGUGUUUUGUUUACAAGUAUUUUUAGGUGAUUUUUUAAUUUUUGAAAAGUAUAUUCUAAAUUUUUCCAAACAAUUGAUUUUUCUUCACAAAUGGUUUAUAUAUAUAUAUAUAAGUGCUUUUUAGAAGCACUAUCCAACAGACUCUAAGUUACCUUUCAAAUAUGACCAAGUUACUUUCUAAAUAUGAUGAUCACAUUAAUUCUCGAUUGGUUCCUUAAUAUGACUAUAUAUAUUACCAGUCAUACUAACCUAACCAAGACUGUACCACAUAAAACUCCUUUAUUGAGAAAAAACACAAUUAUAGGACUUUCUAAGAGGCCAACUAAUGGGGUUUUAAGGCUCAAAAUAGGUGGCUUAAACCCAAAAAAAAGUUCCAAACUCCAAUAGUACAAGAGUAGGCUCAAAAGAUUAUUUGCAAUUGCAUAUCCUUAAGCCCAACCAUCAUUUAUGGAAAAAAUAUAUGUUAGAAAGGAAUAUGAAUGCCAUUUUUCUUAAGAAAUAAUUGGUCGAAAUGCUUCAAGAAAUUUAUAAGACAGAAAUGCUCUUCACUUUAUAAAAAAUUGCAUAAUAUCUCACUAAUCCAGGUCAUUUUUUUUUUCAAAAAUAACAACUAAAAAUAUGAUCAUAUACUUGUACUAACUUGGCGUUCGAUGCCGUCAACUUGGGAAGCAACAUCUUCCUCGAUGGAUUCGCUGUAGAGGGACUGGUAUGCUCUCCUAGCUCCCAAGAGCUCGUCUAAUGAUCGAGUGCAUGCAAGUUCAAUGAGUAGGCCAUAUGCUUGUCUACCUCUUUUCAAAGCCUUCCUUGCCAUGCGAGCAUCUCUUUCCCAAGGAUGCAUGGUCCAUUGCACCACAGCAUCCUGACCACAAAAAUGUUCAAAAAACUAAUCAUAUUAUUGCAAAAACCAAUCUUAAGUCAUCUUUAGUCUCCCUGUCUUUUGUACUUCCAUUGUAAUUUUUGUUUUCUUAUAAGAAUUAAUUUUUUUUUAUGAUAAAUAAUAUAUAAAUAUCUUUAAUUUUAUAUUAACAUAAAUAUCUAAUUUUGUAUUUGAUAUAUAGAUACCUUAAAACGCUUAAAUUCCCUUUUUAGAAAUUUAAGAAGAAUUUCUUCAUAUUUCUCAAACGGGAAGCGUUCAUCCUUCAAAAAGAUGCUAGAAGUUUCAUUCCUAAAAGUUGACAAGUGUUCUGGUUGCCAUUUUACUAAGAUCUCCAGCAUUGAUUUCUCGUCAACUCCAAAUAUUCCUGGAAAUGUAAAUCAAGAUUAUUUCAACCUUCUAAUAAAUAUCAAUAAUGAAAGAACAAACAAACAAACUGAAAAAUGUUUGAAUAUGGGAAUUAUGUAACAUUUGCUCUCCCGAUAUGAUAAUGUAUCUAAAUUCAAAAUUGUUAUAUUAAUUUGUAGACUGUAUUCAUUAACCAGUGGGGAGAAAAAACUAUAGUGUAAAUUACAAAAAAAAAAAAAAAAAAAGGUUUCAUAUGGGACAUGAGAUCAUAUGUAAUCAUCCUUACUAUCACAAAUUUUCACUAGAAUUAUUAAGAAAAUAAUAGAUGAAUGAGUAGAAAGUAUAUUGUAAAAGAAGGCAGUUGUUUGUGAUUUAGAAAAAAACAAAGUUAAGAGAGAAGGAGAAAUUACCAGAGUGAGAAACAGAGAAAGACUUUGCAACAACAUCUGACGAAGACAUAAUUGUUUUCCCUUCUUUGUUUGUUUGUUUUUUCCUUCUUUUGAUGGAGGCAACAAGAAUGGUGUCCUUCUUUACCUCCAUCAUGGCAUUAAUUUUAUGAGUAAGCUAAAGGGGUAUAUAGGGUAAGCAGGACCAUGAGACUAAAAGAUGGAAUGACUUGUGGGAGGGAGGAAAGGUCUUAAUUGUAUGUAGUCAUUAUAGUGUACUUGCAUUCAUUUAUGGGAUUCUUAAGUUAUUUUUGAAGUUUUAUCCACUUUUAAGACUUGAAUCUUUUUAAUUUGAAUUUGAGCCAGACUUGAGGGUGGUUUUAGCUUAUAAAAAAAUGUUAAAAAUAUUAGGGCUCCUUUGAAGUGAAUUUGACAAGGAGGCUUUUGGUCUAUAGCAUUUUUUUUAAUAGUACUUCUAGCUACUACACUUAUUUUUAUAGAGAAUUAUUUAGUGUCUAUGUAAAUUAAAAAACAAUAAUUUUUAUAGUAUGUUCAGUAAUAUCGAUUUUUAGAAGAAGCAUUUAUCGAUAGUACUAAUUUAAGAAUCAUUUCAAGUGAUUCUUCAAAAAUUUUAAAAUAGAUAAUAAAGGAUUUUUAUUCCCCAACAACAAUGGAAAUACUAUGUAUUGCUAAUUUAGAUUAUGAAAUAGCAAGAGAAAUUUUGACACUCAUAAAUGUUGACUUCUCUAAAUGCAUUCAUGAAAGUUAAAGUUUAGAAUAGACAAUAUUUAUAUAUAGAAUUCUCAAAUUAGAAGGAUAAUUUUUUUAUAUAUAAUUAUUAAAAAAUAGAAAAUAUAUGCAUAAGAUAACAAUGAGAUAUAUACUCCAACAGAGAAUCUUGUAAAGUGGUUUCAAAAUUUUGAAUUAUUUGUUUAUUAAAGGAGCUCCUUACGAGAAAUAUUCAAAAGGGGUUCCAAAUUUUAAGACUUUUAACAUGUUCAAUGAAAUCUAUAUUUAUGCCAAACUUGCUCUUGGAGAAGGGCACAUUAUCUAGUUUGGUUAAUUAGAAGUGAUAAGAGGUUCCAAAGUUUAGAAUUCUUCUCAUAUUAUAGAAACCAUAUUUUAUUUUAUUUUAUAAUUUCUUCGAGAAACAUUUCCAUCGAAAGGUGCAAGAAGGUAUUUGGCAGAAGUGUCUUUGCACCACUUUUUUUUUUAAAAAAAAAAAAUAAAGAUUUGAGAAAAAUGCAAGUGUAUUGUUUACAUGUAAUCAUUUUUUUGACAUAAAAAAGUAGAACAACCUUCAAAAUUAAGUAAUUUCAUUAUCAAAACAUUAAUGAAACUAUUGUAGAUUCCAUUUAAGGGACUAAAGGUUUAGAGUAUGUUUGGAACAUUGAAAUAGAAAUUAAGAAUGAAAAUUCAUUUUAUUUUCUAUUUACUAUUGUAGAAAUAAGAGUAUAGGAAUAAAAUACUUGUUCUCACUGAAACUAAAAUCCAUUCUAGCCAGGAUUUUAAUUCCCUUUAUUCUACAUAGUAUUUUUAUUUUUAUUUAUCCCCAUUCUUAUUCCCAUUCCUAUGUAACUAACUUACCCUUACUUUUCUUAAAUAGUAAGAGAAGGUUGAUUUUUUAAAAAAUUAUUCUCAUUUCAAAGUAAAUUGGCUAACUACUCUUUGUUUCUUGGCUAGGAGGAAAUAAAUCUUUUGAGUUACAUAUUAUGUAUCCUUAGCCAUUUUUCUUCCUUGUGAAGCAACUAUAUAACUUUGACAAAGACUUCGAUUCAAUGGUGAAGAAAAGAAAUGUGCUUCUAUGUUCAUGAAAAAGGAUACCAACUUGUGCCUCUCUUUGUCUCUGUCUUUGUCUCUCUCUCUACUAAAAUGAAUAAAGUAGAUCUAAUACAAUUACAAUGGAUGACAUUGAGGAUUCACAUAAGAAUGACGUAUUGGCAUAAUGAUCAAAGAACAAAAUAAAGUUAGUAAUCUGUAAAUAUGAAAAAGAAGCAACAAAUUAUGAGAGUCAUCUACACUUCAACUUUAACUGCAUAUUUUGCUUUAGAUAAGAUAUGUGGGUCCUUAAAUAAUCUUUCAAGUUAAAUGAAACAUCGCUUUCAACAUUAGAAAAAAAAAACAAAAAGAAGAAAAAAACUAAAGAAAAAAUCACAAUUUUUAUGCUUAUUAUUUAUAUUUCUUAGUUAAUAUAACAUAAUGGUUAGGCAAUUUUUAGUAAAUACAUGAUAAAAUAUAAUCAAAUUAGCUAGAAUAUUAAAUUCAUCUUUUGAUAAUUUGAUUUUUAGGUAGGUAAAUGUUUCGGUGGUUAAAUUAUUAUUAAAUUAUUAUUAUUAUUAUUAUUAUUAUUAUUAUUAUUAUUAUUAUUAUUUUAUAAAGAUUAGGCAAAAAAAUUUCUUAUUAUGGGUUAUGUUACACCCAAAAAUUCGAGAACAUUACUUAAUCUAUACUUAAGAUCCUACCAUGAUUCCACACUUCAAAUUAGGAUUAAGAAGAAGAAAUCAUCACGUUCAUGUGCAUAAACCACUAGAUGUAAAAUAGACAAUUUUACAUCUCAUCACAUUGAACAUCAAAUGGGAGAGCUUGAGAAUAACAUAGAAUAGAGCUCAAGUAAUAAUUAACUUGUCACACACCAAAGUUUAAUCCAUGGUACAUCAUGAUAAUAUAAAUAAGUACUUUGGAUCUGAUGCCCAAAGACAUGUCUAUGCCUCCUAUCACAUCCACAUGGGAUCUUCUUAAGUUAGCUUUCACUUGUUUUAGAAUCCCAAUGUCCUCUCCUUUAAGGCUUUCACCCUCACCUUUGCCACCAUUAAUUAAAGAGCAGGAACUUACCUUUAUUGGUACUAACAACCAAUGGUUUCCAACAUCUCCAAGGCAAAACCUUUAUCGAUUCCAAAAAUUCAAACCUUCAUAACCAAAGAGAUACCUACCUAUUUGGUUCCUCAAGGAACCAUCCCUGAUCAAGGUUCAAGUAGUAGCCCUACAACAAACCAUGAGCUGACAAGUGUAGCUUUGCAUUAAUCCAUUAUAGUAUGCUUGAGCUCUACAACGGUUACAUGCAUGAAAUAUGUUAAAACAAUACAUACUUAAUGGAUAUCCAUGAAACCAAAUUUUGGAAAGGUAACCAACGGAUACUUAAUCUUAAAAACAGAAGCUACCCGACCAAUGGUGAAAAUCACCAAAAAUCAGUUACUAAAGUAGUUUCUUUUUCCCGUGAUUCAAUUGAUUUAGGUGCUGCAGGUAAGCAAAUUCAUGGAGAAGAAAAUGCAAUGGAGAAAGAUGAGGAGUGUUGGUGAGCUAAAUUAUCUAGUUUAAUUUAAGUUUAAAAUUUUGUUUCCAAACAUUACCAGAUCCACUCUACAUACUUCACUGAGACUAUAUUGGUCAUUGAAGAUUGAGUUCAUCAAUUUAUGUAUGUUGUAUACAGUUGAGUAUGAAAUGAAAGUGGUUAGUAAGCUUAAUGGUAAAUAAAAAGGCAUAGGAUGGUUUUAUGGAAAAAGUGGGCUAAAACACUGCCAAGUUGUGAAAACAUUUCAUGGAGUGCUCAAGAACCCAAGGUGCUCAACUGCCCUUGAUAAGUGCUUAAGCACUCAAGCCAUUUUUUUUAUAAUAAAUUUGUGGUAAAAAAAAAAAAAAAGGAUUCCUUUGUCAUACCCAACUUGUUAGGAUUUUGUUAUAUAGAUAUGCCUUCUAGAGUUUAAAAAAGCUUCAUGUGCCCUAAUAUGAUAUAUAUAUUUUGCAUCCUUAUCCAGUUUUCUUUUUUGUGAAGCAACCAUAUAACUUUGACAAAGACUUUGAUUCAAUGGCAUGAAGAAAAGAUAUGUGCUCCUAUGUUCAUGGAAAAUGACUCACUUGUGCCUCUCUCUCUCCUAAAGUUAAUAAAGUAGAUCUAAAACAGUUUAGACGCCAUUGCAGCUGAUUAAAGUUGAGGAGUACUGUAAUUCAUUGGUUUCUUGGAUUGUUGAUGUUCAUCCUAGGCUCUAAAGGGUCUAUUUAUAGUUAAUGUUUAGAUCAGAAUAUUGUUGAAAGCGUCUAAAACAUGAAGAACGGGAUGGGUCUGCAGGCCACAAAGCGUUGCCGCGGAAAAAGCUUUGGUUAGUACGCAAUUAUUCCAUGAGUAAUUAAUAUAAUUGUAUGACAAUUGUAAACCCAUAAUUCUCUUGGCCGUUUUCUUCGGUCCAGACAUACACACUCGAGCAUUGAAUGGUCAAUGUUUAGCUUUAAAAGCACAAAUUGAAGUUCCCUGGAAAAGUGAAUCUUGGGGCCGGCUUUGUGGCUAGGUGGACAUGCACAACGACAAAGUGCUGUUGUGCCAAGCCCAACUCAAUUUUCAUCACCUUAGCCUAAGUUGAUGCAUGGGUUUUGGUAUUGGGCUUGUGGUAACCCUAAGGUCCAACCUAUCAGGGUUGAGGAGCGUUUUUUUGUUCUUAGCUCAGUUUUUUGUGCCCAUUAUCAUGGGCUACAGCUGGCCCUGUCUUUGGCCUAAUAUAUCAGUUCGAGUAAAAGUAGAUUACAGGGCAAUAGUACAGAAGAGUAUCCACCAGUCCUCUUUCUAGGGUUUUAAACUUCAUCAUUCUCUUGCAAUCUCCGUCUUAUUCUUUCUUCAUGCUUAAGGAAGGACUAUAGUGAUGAGAUUUGUUCCUAUUUCUUUCUAGUUAUGGGCUUAUCCUUGUAUUAAUUGAAAGCUUAUAUUCUUGAUCACGGUAUUACCUAGGAUAUCUUAAAUUAAUAACUUUUAGACUUAUUUCUGAUUGAUUAAAUUAAGUUUAUUUUCCCGUUUUGAUUGAUCAAGUGCAUUUUGAUAACAAUCAUGAAUAUUCAGUCACACAUGGAAAAUCACCUAUAGAGAUUGUCUCAACGCUAAACAUAUGAAAACCACUAACUAGUCAAUUGAUUGCAGUAAAAUUUCACUAAAUAUAAAAUACUAGUGCACAAUUUUAUAAAAUUGAUUGGUGUGGGAUAUUUUUUUUAUUAUUUUAAAAAUUAGUUAAUUAAAUUGUUUCAUUUUUUUGUCUUUUUGAACAUUUAUAAAAUACAAAUGUAAGUUUGGCUUUUCACUAAAAAUUUAUAAUUUGAUAUCAUCCCUACCUAAUAGUCCUUAGGACGGUACGUGGACUUAGCAAAUAAGAGAAAUAAAUAAAUAGUGAGGUUUGAACUUAUAACCUUUGAUAAAAUAAUAUACUUUGAUAUCAUAUUAAAUUUGUGAUUAAAAUAUCAAAAAAUACAGAAAUAUUGAUGGUUGAAUUUGACGAAAAUAUCAUAUCAAAAUUUAAUGAAAAAUAUCAAUAGAAUAGAAGUAAAUCAAAACUUAUAGAAAUAUCGAUAAAACUACAAGAAAUGAUAAAACAAUGAAAGUUAUUUUUUAAAGACCAUAUUACCAAUAUUGAACUUUGGAUAAUGAUAUAUAAUACUUGAAAACACAUUUAAUAUUAAAUAAAUUAUUUAUCUAGUUUAUACAUAUUUAAAGACAUGAAAGAGAAAGAGGUCGUUUUGAAAAAAAAUUUCAAAUGAGGGCCAAAAUGCAUAUUUGGUUGCCCAAUGGGGUUGUUUUUAACCCAAACUCUUAUAUAUCUAUACAUACUCAAGUUGUGUGUACUUUUUUCGCCGCUUCUAGGCAUUACUAAUACAAUCUCUCAUUUACCUAUAAAUAUAAAAAAAAAAUCUAUACAUACUCAAGGAUGAAAAUAUCAAUAAAUAUAGGUAUAUUGAUACUUGAAUCUUACAGAUAUAUUGAAAAUUACAUCAGUAGAUAUUUUGACAAAAAUAUCAGUGGACCGAAAAUUGUUCAAAAUUCAUAAAAAUGCUUGGAAAAACAUCAAAAAAUGAUAAAAUAAACAAGAAUACACAUGUUAAAGUUAUUUUGUAAGUGUAAUUGAUAUAGGUAUGUAUUAUUAUUAUUUUUAAUUAACUUAUUUAUUUAUUAUUGUUUUAUUGCUUUCUAUUUGUGUAUAUCAAUUGGGGAAUUGGUGGAACUCUUACAUAAAAAUCAUUUUUCAAAAACCUUCUUUUGAUCAACUUAUUCAAUUUAUUGCACACCUGAAAAUAAAAUUUGAUUUGACCUAUUUAUGAUGUUUUUAAAAAAAAAUUUAGUGAUUGUAUGAUAUUUUACACAUCUUGAAUAUGAAUUUAGAACUUUGUUUGAAUUAAAAAGCAAUUCUAAAAUAGAAGAUAUAAAUGAGUCUUUUAGGGAUUCUGUUUUCACUCGAUUUUGGACAUUCAAAAUAUUUUUGUAAAAAUAAGUUAUUAGGUGACCUUGUAAUUUUUAUUUGAUUCUAGACUUCUUGAAAUUGACUUUAGACACAUAAAAUAUUGAAAAUAGUUUCCCUAAUCAAAAGAUAUAUAUAUAUUUUUUUCUUGCUGCAUUCAUUGUACUACCCUAAUUUUGAACAGAGGAGUUGUUUGAUUGUUUUUAAAAUUAAUUCAUGUGCCUUCUGAUUAUAUUGUCUUUAUUUUUCUUGUAAAGUAGACAUUCUGAACAUGUUGCGUAUUUUUUUUAUGAUUUUGUGGCACUUCUAUGUUAGUUUAAAAAAUCAGUUUAUGAAUACUAUUGAAUUUUGUUUUGGUUUGGACCUUUAGAGAUGUUUCUAUAAACUGGAAUCAAUCGAAGCUUUACUAAAUUGCUUGGCUUUUUGGUUGAUAAUCUAGACAUAUAGAAGAGGCCUCCGAAAAUUUUUGUAAUUAAAAUCCACUUCUAGAAAUGUUUUUAGGAUUUAUUCUUUAAAGGUUCUUAUUGUGAUCACAUGUUGGGAUUUCUAUACAAUGUUUAACUUACCUUUUAACUUGGAGUUAAUUGAUAUGUCUUUACUUGAUCUUGGCUUUGGUAUUGUAAUAUAAACAUAAUGAGGAUGUCAUAUGAUUCCUUUUAUGUUGAAAUGAUGUCUCUAGAUAUUUGUUUAGGAUUUUUCAAGUGAAUGCAACUGUUCUACCCAUUUACUUCAUGUUUUUGUCUUAGUUACUAACUUUGAUACUUAUGGCUACCUAGAGUAUUAGUUUAAAUUUAAUAAUGAGCUUAUAUGUAUGUCCUAGGUGAUAGAUGAUAUUCUUUUGGAAUCUUGCUUUUUUUAGCUAUACAAAUGUUAUAUAUAUUAGUGUUUUUUUUUUAUCAUAGUUAUUUAUUAUCAUAAAUUGUUCUAACCCUAUUUCAUCACGUGUAAGCACACUAUAAGUUAUGCAUACUAUCCAGGUAUGUCUCUCACACCUUUUAUCCCUAUAAUUAUGCAAAUAUGCAAACUUUGAGCGUGCAAAUUCAGAUAUAUGUUGUUGCUUUGUAUGUUUUGUUUGUUACUUGAUUAUUUGAAUGGGAUGAAAUGCAUGGUGUAUGCUAUAUUUAUUAAACUAACUUCAAUAUUUUCAUGAAAGCGCUUUGGGACGUAGCUCAAGUAUGCAAAUCCCUUCUUCCUACAUGAGUGUUUCUUGUGGUAUGAUUGUUUGGUUAUGAAUAUUAUGUUGUUUACUCUUAAGCUUUAUCACCUUUGCUUCAUUUGCAGUCUCAAUCAAGCAAUUAAUUGUCAUCCUUCCCUCAACCUAGCUAAUAGAGACCUUUUUAGGGUUUAGAGGGGUUCUACACUUUAAGGUAUCUCCCUAAUAGGUAACUUGAUCCCUAGACCUAGAUUCGGGUUUUUCAAAGACACGUUUUUUCAAAAGUUUAAGGAGUCCUUUUUUCUUAGGGUUUUAGUUUCUUAUUUUAUUUUUCCUUAAAUAAAAUAAUAAAAAUAAGUGGCGACUCCAGUUUUUUAUAAAAUACAAUUUUUCACCCAAAAAAAACGAGUCUUGCCGAUUGAGUGGGGAUGCAUGUGAAAAAUAUGGGUCCACAGUAUGGUUGAUGAUGAAAAUAUUAGUAAAUACAGAUAUAUCGAUAUUUGGAUUUUAAGGAUACAAAAUAUGAAUUUUGGAAGUGCACACUUAGAAUUAGGAUAAGAAAUAUUUGGUUUCAUUCAAUGAGAACAAUUUAUACAUAUUAUAUGGGAAUAGUGCUUUAGUGCCAAAAUGAAUAUCGUUGUGGUUUAAUCGCAUUGUUAGACAAAGGGAUCCCAUUUUGUUGAAAGGAUUGAUAGUAUUGAUUGUAAGUUUGAACAUGUCAUGCAUAAAUUUAUGAUAUUAAUCUAUUUAAUUGAAAUGUAUUUAAUGAUGUAAAAUAAAUUAUGAUACAUGUAUGAUUUUUUUUAAUAUUUAUAUUAUUUAUAUUUAAUUAUCAUAUAAAUAAUAUAAAAAAAGACUUACUAAGAAAAAUAUAAUGAUGGUUGGUAAUCAAUUAAAAUAAAAUGAUUAGAAUUAAUUUAUAUAUUAUUCUCUUAAUAUUAAAAUUAUAAUUUAUUUAAUAUAGUAAUGUUUGUUUAUAUACAACAAAGUGCAACGUUGGCCCAACGGCUGCCAAAAGUUCAAUUUGAACUUUUUAACUUGGGUUCAAGUUGGCCAAGUAAGAUGGCAAGAGGAGCAUGAAAAUAUUGAUAGAAAAAUUGGGAAAUUUUUGAAAAUAUCAUCGAUAUAUCGGCUGAUGAUAAUCAGUGAUCGAUUUCAUAUUUAGCCCUCUUUUUUGUCCAUGUGCAUACUUGAUGGUUAAAGUGCCCAUGACUCCAUUCCUACCUUUUUAAAACACCUCAAUUCCUUGCUUAGUGCCCCACCAAUUGAAAAGUCUAUGAUAAAAUUGUUGGUCAGUCUUUCCUUAUCAUAUUUGGUAUUCGUGGAGCCCGAUACCUAAUAUUGUAGCAAAUCCCAUUGAAACUUUAAUCAUUGUUUAGAUCAUGAUGGUCACUAUUAUAUAUUAAGCUAGGCUGCAAAGUUAGAAUGCCAUAUUUGACAUUUCAUCACAUAAUGAAACUUUAUUGUUGCACAUGAAUUUGAUUCAUAAAAUAUUCCAUUUAAAAAAAGUUUAGGAUCACUUUAGUCAAUCAUAAAGCCAUAGAUGUUCAUUAUCAACCAUGGAAACUCAGGUGGAGUCGUUGAUUAAAAGUUUGACAUUGCUUGCUUCUUGCUAAAUGUUCUAGGACUCCCAAUAUAAUCAGCCCAGGUUAAGGUCAUGUAAAUUGAGUUUGGAUUGGGACUUUUGUUGUUCCACUUUCUAGUUGUGUAAGAAUGGCCUAGUGUCCAAGCUGGUCAGAAUAACUUCUUCAAGGGACUUCCAUUUGUGGUACUUUUGAAGUUAAACGUAAUCAUUAUUUAAUUUAUACCUAAAACACACUAGUGAUUGUUGGGGUGAUGAUAGAACAAACCUGCAGUAAUUCAAAAGAAGAAACAAGAAAAAUUACAAUGGAAGUAAAAAGAGCUUCGUUUGUUUAGAGGCUUGCAAAUUGUAACGUCCUAAAGAUAGAAUUUUGGCACCCUGUUCUUGAUUACAAUAGUAAAUGGUGUAUGUCUUUCAUGAUACAACUCUUAAAUGAUUUAAAGAGAGUAAUCUCCUAUUUAUAUCCUUUCAAACCAAGUGUUGUAUUCCCUCUAAAGGUUGUGUCUCCUUCAUUAGACAUGUUCUUUUCAUUCACCAAUUUUCCAACAAUCCUACACAUGAAUGAAAGGACUUAGAACAUUAUUGGACAGAUAGAUGAGAAUGCAUAAGGUAAGGUGUCUUUUGGACUUGAACCUACCUUAGUGAAUAUCCAUCGGAUUUGCUCAGCGACAAAGUGAACUUAAGUCUUAAACUUGUCCUCCUUUGUAGCAGUGAAGAUAAUGGAUAUCACACAUAACUCAUCUAAACACAUUUUGGUUUGUACGUUUAUGUUCUUUUUGGUCCUGAAUAGAUCCUGACUUCAUGAGAACUUUAGAGAAUGAAGCCUUCACAUUCUCAUAGAAGCGACCCCACUUCUACCCUCAUAUAGGUGACAUCAGUUAAAAGUAUUCUGCUAUACUUCUCUUGGUACAAGAUACCGAUGUCAUUAAAUGUAUAACAUACUGUGGACCUCGCAUUGAGCCGAAAUGCGAGGUCCACAAAAUGACGACUCCACUGGGAGAUCAUCAUAAAAUAGCGAACCAAUCAAUCAUCUCAACAUACAUCUCACAAGUGGGGAUAAGCAUGCAACUCCCUGAAGAUCUGUAGAUCUCGCCCGAAAGGGAAUAUGCCCCAGUAUGGCAUCGGAAGUGUGACAGGUCAGAAGAAAAAGUGACAUGGAAUCAUCUGUCAUCGAACAUGUAAUCCCGGUCAUCCGAAUCCAUAACCGAAUCACACCCAUGAUCCAAGAAGUACCUCUCGGAUGAAGAAGCAUGAUGGCAUCCAAGUGCUGAGAAGGGCCGACCUAACUAGAUGGCUUUCGGGAUGCUCCUCUGAAGAAUCAUGAUAAGGCAACGAUCAUGUCUACGUCCCAAUGAGCAUCCAGUGAGUGAUGAUGAUCGUGCAAGUCCGUGAGGACCCAUAAACCUCUAAAUGAAAUGGGGUAUGCCCCAGUGUGGCAUCAGGUGCACGACAUGUCAGAAUAACAAAUGACAUGAAAUCAUCUAUCGUCGAGCACGUGACCUCCGUGAAGAUCCGUAAAUCUCAUCUAAAAAUAGAAAAUACGCCUCGGUAUGGUAUCAAGUGCGCGACAUGUCGGAAGAACAAAUGCCAUGAAAUCAUCUAUCGUCGCACAUGUGACCUCCAUGAAGAUCUGUAAAUCUCAUCCGAAACGGAAAUAUGCCCCAGUAUGGCAUCAGGUGCACAAGAGGUCCAAGGAACAAAUGACAUGAAAUCAUCUGUCGUCGGGCAUGUGACCUCCAUGAAGAUCCGUAAAUCUCAUUUGAAACGAAAAUAUGCCCCAGUAUGGCAUCAGGUGCAUGACAAGUCAGAAGAACAAGUGUCAUAAAAUCAUCUAUCGUCGAGCACGUGACCUCCGUGAAAAUCCAUAAAUCUUAUCCGAAACGGAAAUAUGCCCCAGUAUGGCAUCAGAAUGUAUGGUAGGUCAGAAACCAGGUGACAUGGAAUCAUCUAUCAUCGAACAUGUGACCUCCGUGAUCCAAAUCAAGUCCAAACAACUAGGGAACGUCUCCCAGGAUAAGAAGCAUGGCCGCAACCAAAUGCCUAGAAAUGUGGGCCUGACUGAAUGGCUCCACAGAGGCUCCAUUGGGAGAUCAUCAUAAAAUAGCGAACCAAUCAAUCAUCUCAACGUACAUCUCGCAAGUGGGGAUAAGCAUGCAACUCCUUGAAGAUCUGUAGAUCUCGCCCGAAAGGGAAUAUGCCCUAGUAUGGCAUCGGAAGUGUGACAGGUCAGAAGAACAAGUGACAUGGAAUCAUCUGUCAUCGAACAUGUAAUCCCGGUCAUCCGAAUCCAUAACCGAAUCACACCCAUGAUCCAAGAUGUACCUCUCGGAUGGAGAAGCAUGAUGACAUCCAAGUGCUGAGAAAGGCGGGCCUAACUGGAUGGCUUUCGGGAUGCUACUCUGAAGAAUCAUGAUAAGGCAACGAUCAUGUCUACAUCCCAAUGAGCAUCCAGUGAGUGAUGAUGAUCGUGCAAGUCCGUGAGGACCCAUAAACCUCCAAAUGAAAUGGGGUAUGCCCCAGUGUGGCACCAGAGGUACGAUAGGUCAAAAAUCAGGUGACACCAAAUCAAUCAUCGUCAAACUCGCGAUCCCGGUAAUCCGAACACAACUGAAUCAGACCUACACAUCAAAGAGGCGACUCCCAGAAGAAGAAGCAUGACGAUAUCCAAACAUCAACCUGAUCUCAAACACCGGUCCAAGUAGAGGUUGUCGAAGACGACAUCUGAUCCCAUGGCCUUAGGGUGGUCUUAAGACACAAGACGUAACGUAGGCUAGGGUGAUAGGGUAAUAGAAAUGAAAGGAAACUAGACUCAAAUACCCAACGAUCAGAAAACCAUGCCCUCAUAUAUGAAAUGCAACAUGUAUAGUAAGUCCUGUGAGCCUUGGACUUGAGGAUGCCUAACGUGAAUAUGAUGUCGAUAAGGCAACAAAUGAAGCAAAAUGAACUGAUAGUGAUAUGUGGAAUGAUGAUGUGAAGUGAGUAUCAAACCCGAGAUGGGUUGCUGUAAGAAGAGAAUAAAAUGUGAAGGGAAUGAGAUGAAUCACAAGCAACGAUAAAAACGAUAGCGAAACAAUGAAUAUGUGAAGAAAGGUGGUGAUCGACUAAGAUCAAACAUGAAGUGAAGUCACAUCAAUAAUGAAUGUAAUGAUGGAAAGGACAAUGACUCGGAGUCCUUAGAAGAAGGUCACUCAUCUCUCUCACAAAUAGAUAUGACGAAGCAAUACAAAUAACAUGGGAUCUCAGAGAGCUCACAUACGAACUCCCAAUAACGAACAUACUCGAUAAAAAUGACCCCUAAACAUCAAUAUACAUACUCAAUGAUCGAGAACACUAUGCACAUACACACAUGUGCUUAUUAUUUUUCUUUUUCUUUUCUUUUCAUUUUUUUUUUUUUUUUUUUUUACAUAUAUACAAAUACACAUACCCUGAACAUGAACAAAUGAACCCCAAGGGUGAUGUCGAUAACGGAUGGACACCGACCCAAGUGCUAAGGCAACCCAAAACUCUCUCAAACGAGAUGACCUUCUCAAACUAAGGAUCUCUAAACCAAUGUCUGCGAGAGAGAUGGUGGAAAUGAUGUGACUAUCCUCCAUGUGAUGAACUGAGGAGGAUCACCACUCAGGGUGGAGAGAAUAUGAAACAAACAAGUAGUAGAUAGGAUAAGGAAGAAAAGACGAGGAACACAACCAACGAGAUGAGAUGAAAAUGCAGAGGUGCAGUGAUAGGGAAAAGAUAAUGAGAAAAACGUGCCCCUAGAUCCAAGGCUCAUGAAACCCCCAAACAAUGCAUGCAUACACUAAAGGGCCCCUAUCCCGGCGUGAAAAUGUGAGCAAGGCGAUAAGAAAGAAAGGCCAUAAUGCGCAUGCGAGGCUCAAUGGGCUAGCAACGGACUAUGUAUCACAAAGGAAUAACAAGGUAAUGGCUAACCGAAAUGAUGGCCACCCAUCCUACAACCAUGGUCUCAAACAUAGUACCUCUUUAGCUGAUCCACAUUGGUUGGCUUUGAGAAUCAGUUUCCAUCUAAAUCCAUCAACCAUGCAGCGCCCUCUGGGGUCAACUCCCUGAUGAAAUAAGGUCCACUCCAGUUGGGUCUGAACUUCCCUCUAGGAUCUCUAAUCAAUCCUCUGAUGAACCUCAAGACUAAGUCACUUCUCUAUAAUGGUCAAUCAACAAUCUCUGCUAUCUUCCCCUACCAGCGGGAGAUGAAGGAAGAAAUGGACUCAUCUGAUCUCUGUCUGAAACCCUCAAGCUCUCUCCUCGACACAUCUACGAUAGUACUAAAUGAAAACUGUCAUAGAAACUCCUAAGCUAGGUCAUCACAUGUCCUGUGUCACGAGGACUCCAAAGAUGCGAACUAAUACUAGGUUGCGCCACUCAGAGAUAAAAGAAACAUGAUGAUCAUCUGUGACUCGUCUAACCCAUGGACCCUCAUCACAGUACUGUAGAGUCGAAGAUGAAUACAUGGACAACCAACGCCCGUGUACCUCUCAAUGUCAAGCAUCCUGAACUUGGCUGGUAGACUAGCUACUAGUAUACUAUCAAGAUCAUCCCAAGUCGAUGAACUGUCAGAUACUCUCAACUACCAGAUACGCUACUCAAUACGAUCCAUACAUGAAUGAGUAUCCUUAAGGACUGUCUACUCUGCUGACUGUCUAUCUCCUGCCUGAGACUAGCCAAGGUCUCCUAAAUAGAAGCCAUGGCGGCCAUGAACGGAUCAACUGUGACAACCCACUGAUUCAUGUCUGAUCUCUCGGAAAAGCGAACUAAUAUCCCCUCUACUCUAACCCAAGAUGACAAAUCCACACUGAGAAUGAAAAACCAAUCCUAAAGAGCAUGAAGUACAAGAUACCUGAAUAAAAUCCAUGGCGUCUGUAAACUAGCCAACUGUGACAACCCGCUGAUUCAUGUCUGAUCUCUUGGAAAAGAGAACUAAUAUCCCCUCUACUCUGACCCAAGAUGACAAAUCCACACUGAGAAUGAAAAACCAAUCCUGAAGAGCAUUGAAGCACGAGAUAUGGUAGGCACAGGGAAAACAUGGAAGAAAUGCUAGUUUGAAUUGGAAUGAGCAGGGCAUAAAAAACGAAGACGGACCGUCUGAUCGUACCCAAACUCGUACUGAUCUCGGUGCACUCUCACUAGAGACUAAAAGAGGGAAUACUGAAUCCCAACUAUGAUCAAAGAGGCUCUGAAAGCCCUCAGACGCACCCACGUGUAGGGAGGGAGUCCUAAUUGAAGGAUCUACGGCUCAACCUACGCGGUCAGGGUGGCCCUAAAAGGAUAAAGGGUGGACUUUAAAGGAUCCCUAGUAGAAGCGAUCAUACCCUCCAGCGGUAGGCAACCCUCUGCACGCCUCCGAAGAGAAGGGGCACUUCCAUGCAAGGUGGUCAUCACCUCCACACAUGCACUACCUCAACAUCCCAGGGGAUUUCCUAUGGUGAAACCUCUCAAACUCUCAACGCUCAAUGGUCAACUAGAGUGCACAGUGAACGGUGUGGGUGCAUCCGAUAACCCUAGGAAGCUAAAACAGAAAAUGAAACACACUGGCCACACAAAUAUUCAUGAAACCUAGCUUUGGGCUAUAUGGGUCUUCAAUGAUUGGAAUCCAAUCGACAUCAAAGUGUCGCUCUCCUCCAGAAUACUCCCGUGCAUCGAUAUAGCCCGUCACUAGACCCUACUCCUAAUCUUCGGCUCGGUCAGAGAGCAAGCACAUAGAAGGUCUCACACUUGCAAUAGUGAGAACCAAGAAGAAAUGAAUGACCGAAACCAAGAGAGUUGGAGGUAAAAGGAUAUAUGUGCGGCCCACAGAGACAAGCGACAUGCAAUCACGCAGAAGGAGGGCAGUCAUGCAACAUGCAAUCAAGUAGAAUCCAGGAUAUAUCACUCAUGUCCGCGCAAAAAGCUAUGACUAUCAGGACGAAUAACGAUACAAACAUCAUGCUCAAAAGACGAUCAAGACAAUAUGCAAGCUAGAAGAAACCACACAGCCAGUCAAACGACGUAUAAUAGUGAGUCUAUGCAUGUGAAGUGAGCAGAAUAAUCAGGAAGAGAUAGAAUCGCUAUACCAAGCAAACAAGAUGAGCAAUCUAUGAUAAUCAGCAUGUCAAUGUACCAAACUAAUCUAGCAAUGAAGUACAGAAAAAGCGACAUCUGAAGCCCCAAUCAAGAUAAACAAUCAUAUCAAUGUCACAACGCAAUAUCCAAGCAUGCAUCAAAAACUCCCAAUGUGCAAUCAAGAGAUGGGUACUCACUAAUCGACUCAUCAAAUGUCAUGUUUACUUCAUCUUAAGUUCAAGCUUGACCCUCUAAACAUCCCCAGUGGAGUCGCCAUUUUGUGGACCUCGCAUUUCGGCUGAAUGCGUUUCCCAAUCAAUGGCGAGCUCAAUUUUUAUUUAAAAAAAUGAUUUUUAUUCAUUAAAAAUCUGACUUGGAGUCGCCACUUAUUUUUGUUUUAUUUUUAAAAAAGGGUAAACAAAAUAAGAAAGAAAACCCUAAGCGCGACUCCUUAUUCUGGAAAAGGUGGUCUAUGAAAAACCGGAUCGGGCUCGGGGGUCAGGUUACUUAUCGGGAAGGUACGAUAUGAACCGUAGCACCCCUCUAAGUCCCUGAAAUCAGGUCUCUACUAAUAUAAUGAAGCUGACGCUGCAAUCAAUGAGAAAGUCAAUGGAUACUCACCUUAAUCAUGUACGACGUGGGAAGCAGAGCAUGUAUAAAGAAUGAACAAAAUAUGAGUGGAUGCGUACCUGGUCCUCUAGUCACGAAUGUGCUAUCAUGAAACAGGAUUAGUGAAUGACGAAUAGAUAAAAUUAUGCACAUGUCAAGGAACAGAAUAAAUCAAACAAGCAUGGUAAAUAAAUCAAUUAAUCAAUCAGUCAGUCAUAAAAUCACAUAUGUGGGGCCCCCACCAAAGCCCGAUUGAUCUUGCCUGAAUUAAUCUCGCGAAUCCCAUUAUUUCGGAAUUAUGAAGAUUCAUCAUUCUUGCUUAUGUAAAAAUCAAAAGAAAUAGAACAUUAUUUAAAAAUCGAAGUGGAAUUAAAGCUAUUCGAGAGAAAACUGGAUUUUUGAGAUUUAUUUGGAAAUUAGAGUCUCGAAAAUUAUUUGAAGAUUGGAGUCUUGAAAAAUUAAAUUUAAGAAUUGGAAUUUUGGAUAUUAAAUUUAAAAGAAAUUAGAAUUUUGGAAAUGGGAAAUUAAGUUCAGAAAUUGGAAUUUUGAAGAAUUGUUUAAAAUGGAAUUUCAAAAUAAAUAACUAAAAUAAUAAUAAUUAAAUAGAUUAAUGUGAAUUUUGGAAUUUUGGAAUUAGAAAUUAAAUCGGGAGUCGAAAAUUUUAAUGAAUUGUUUAAAAUCAAAUUUUAGAAUAAAUAAAUAAAAUAAUAAUAAUUAAAUAGAUUAAUGUGAAUGUUGGAAUUUUGGAAUUAGCGGAAGUGGAAAUCUUAAUGAAUUGUUUAAAAAUUGAAUUUUAGAAUAAAUAAAUAAAAUAAUAAUAAUUAAAUUAAUUAAUGUGAAUAUUGGAAUUUUCAGAAAUAGAAAUUUAAUUCGGAAAUCGAAAGUUUUAAAUGAACUGUUUAAAAUGGAAUUUUAGAAUAAAUAAAUAAAAUAAAAUAAUUAAAUAGAUUAAUGUGAAUAUUGGAAUUUUUGGAAUUAGAAAUUAAAAUCGGAAGUGGAAAUUUUAAUGAAUUGUUUAAAAUGGAAUUUUAGAAUAAAUAAAUAAAAUAAUAAUAAUUAAAUAAAUAAAUGUGAAUAUUGGAAUUUUCAGAAAUAGAAAUUUAAUUCGGAAAUCGAAAAUUUUAAAUGAAUUGUUUAAAAUGGAAUUUUAGAAUAAAUAAAUAAAAUAAUAAUAAUUAAAUAGAUUAAUGUGAAUAUUGGAAUUUUUGGAAUUUAAUUCGGUAAUCAGAAGUUUUAGAAUAAUUUGGUUUAGAAUGGAGCUUUGAAAUAAAUAAAUGAAAUACUAACGAUCAAAUAAAUUAAUGGGAAUAUGAGAAUUCGAAAAUUGGAAUUAAACGUUAAAAAUCUGAAUUUUGAAGUGUCAUUUGAAGAUUGAAUUUUUGUAAGUUGGGCUUGGAAAUUAGAAAUUUGAGAGUUUAUUGAGAAAUGAGUGAUUUAGAGAAAGUGAACUAUAUAAGGUGGAAACAAUCAGGUGGGCCAGCUUGAAAUGAGUAUGGGCCGAUCUUAAAAUGGAUGGACAAAUCAUGGGGGUCUUCCAUUAUCAAGCUCGGAUUUAGGCUUCAUCCCAAGCCCACAUCCAUUAGCAGAAGGACCCAAGCCUUUUCACCAUCAUAUUUGGGUUUGGGGCUUCAUCUCAGGCCCAAAUCCACUAGCAUGGUGGCCCAAACCUCCAAGACCAAUAGCAGCCGUAGGCAUCUCCCCAUGCAAGCUUGCAGCCUGUCAUUCUCCUCGUCGCCACCGGCGAGGAGCUCCGGCUCAACGUCGCUAGUGGGGGUCGCUUCCGGGAUUUGAAGCAAAUAUAAUAGGAAUGGGAGAAUCAUGCGUAGAGGUAUUAAGAAAAACUAUAAAAUGUUCUUUAUUGGCAUUUCAUCAAACAGUCCAUGUGCAUAAAUCCUCAUCCCGUAUUUUACUUGCAUCAACAAGAACUUGUUCCCCAAAUACUCAUCCGGACCAAACCCACUACUGAUCAUAUAAUUAGACAUCUUUUCCACCCCUUUAAUUGAUCUCAAUCCAAUACACACACUCCCUAACGCAUCAUAUGCCUCGCCAUCCAUAUAAUAAGCACCAAGCAGGAACCAAAAUUAACUAGAAAUAGAAUAAAGCAAAUUGAAAUUAGGUAUAUAAAACAUGCAGAAAUCUUACUUGGACCGAAGCUUCAAACUCCUCCUCAACUCAGCUUGAGACGCCC
Molecule: long non-coding RNA, 79250 nt
Filed under: Vitis vinifera (wine grape)
Lineage: Eukaryota; Viridiplantae; Streptophyta; Magnoliopsida; Vitales; Vitaceae
Description: long non-coding RNA (VVIN_LNC007135)
Source: RNAcentral